Molecule: long non-coding RNA, 61965 nt
Filed under: Ananas comosus (pineapple)
Lineage: Eukaryota; Viridiplantae; Streptophyta; Magnoliopsida; Poales; Bromeliaceae
Description: long non-coding RNA (ACOM_LNC024034)
Source: RNAcentral
UUUUUUCUUUUUUUGUUUUGUUUUCUUUUGUUUCUUCUAUGUUAUUUUCUUCGUCCAAACAGAGCGAAUGAUUUCUCGGUUAUUUAAUCCUCUUUUUAAUCUUUGACGCUAGGCCUAGACUAUCUACAUGGAGGAUGAAAGAAUCUAACAAUACACAAAGAUGUAAAGAGUGAGAACAUUCUCUUAGGAGAUAUUUGGUUUCCGAAAAAAAAAACUCAAAAAAUAGUUUUCAAGCUAGGAAAGUUUUUUUUUUUAACCAUUUGGUUCUUGGGAAGAAUAAUUUUCCUAGAAAUUUUGCUUCCAAAUUUUACAUUAAAAAAACCUCCUCUAGAUAACUCUGUCGGGCUUGCCAUUUGCCCCAUCAUCAAAAGUCUUGGCCUCUUCACCAAUAACCUCUCUCUUUUUCUCUUCUCUCUUCAAUUAUUUUUCUUUUUCUACUACAUUUCUAAGAUCACAAAAGUUUAGAGAGACAUUUCAGAAACAAAGAGGAAAGAGAAAGGGCAUGAUAAGAAAUGUAGAGGAAAGGAAUGGGAGAUGGAGGAGAUAAAAAAGACGAGGAAUCUAGGUCGUUCGCUAGAAUCUCUAUGUGCAUGUGUCCAAGUCAACCCCACUUAUAUUUUCUUUCAUUUCUACAUAAGUAUAUUUAUUCGAAUUUUACCAUCAUCUUUUGGAAGAUUGCAUUGAAUCUAGAGUUUUCCAAAGUUCACAUCUAUUUGAGUAGAUCAAAACAAAAAGACACAUUUAUAGGAAUCACUUGUUGAAUUACCCCAAAUUUUAAUAAAUUUAUAGGAAAUAUUUGUUAAAUUACACAAAAAUUUGAAUAAAGAAAAGUGCAAACUAAUACAACAUACUAAUGGUUUGUUUAAGUUUAUCCCAUAGUAACCUCUAAUGGAAGGGCAGGUUCUGCUAUCACUAUAAAAGAAGGGGCAUUAUAAACAUGAAUGUAUAUGUAGAAAAAAGAAAGAUUGAAGAAGGAAGUAGAAAAAAUAUUUUUAGUAAAAUACCUAUUCUACUUAGGAGCCGUUUGGUUAAAUGUAAUUACAAAUGUUGUGUAAUUGAAGAUACAUGCAGUUGAAUAACUACAUGCAUCAUGUUUGGUUAGAUAUAGUGGAAAACGUUGUAACUAUAAAAAUUUGUUUGGUUGCAUGCAAUUGAGAAAUAAUUUUUAAAAUUUUAUCAUUUUAUAUAUAUGAUGGUAAGAUUACCUCCAAUGUAAAAAAAAUUUAUUUUUUGUUUAAAAAAUAUUUAAAGAGGUAAGGUUACAUUUUGUUUAAAGUUACACUCCAACUGCUGCAGUUGGAACUGCGGCCAAUUUGGGCGUAGUUCCAACUGCUGUAGUUGGACCUCCUCCUGCAGUUCCUACUAUAGUAGUUGUAGUUAAAUAUAUCAAACAAAACACCGAAUUUGCAUUUGCAUGCAGUUACAACUGCCGUGCAGUUGCAACUACAUGCAACCAAACGGCCCCUUAAUGUAGAGAAUGAUGCAAAAACAUUACAAAGGUCGUAACUUUGAAAAACAAAGCAUGUUGGAAGGGGGUAGUAAAUGAUGAAAUAGACCCAUUAUUAUCUAAUAAUCCCUUGGUCCUCAUUGGCUUAUCUCCUGAAUCAAAAUCAAUUGGAUGCAAAUAAGUAUUUAGAAGAAAGUAUAUAUAACAUAGAUGGAUCUAUAUAGACUUUUGAAACUAGAGUGAUAGUUAAAGGAUACAGAGGAAAAGAUGGUGUAAAUUACUUUAUAUUUAUAAAUCAAUAGCUAGAAUAACAUCCAUUAGAAUUUUAUUAGCAUUUACUUUGAUUAUAAUUUUUGUGUACAUCAAAUAAAUGUUAAAAUAGGAUUUUUUAAAUGAUGAAGUAGAUGAAAAGAUGUAUUUGGAAUAGCCUGAAGGGUUGUUCUAUUUAAAGAUAAAAAAAUAUUUGCAAAUUACUUAAGUCAUUAUAUAAUUUGAAGCAAGUGCCAAAAGAGUGGCAUGACAAUUUUGAUUUCAUAAUAUUGGCCCAUGAAUUCAAAUGUAACUAGUGUAGGGACCCGCGCGAUGCGGCGGGUAAAAAUUCUUUAAUAAAAAUUUAUAGAUUAAAUAAAUAAAUAAAAAUGUAAUGAAAAAACAGAAAGAUAUAACCACGUGUGAGUGGAUUUAAUAAGAUGAAAAACCAAGUAAAGGCUUUUAGAAUGAAAUUACAACCAAAUGGAGAACAAUAAAAGAAAACGAAAAAAAAAACUAUAGAAGAAAAAAAUUAUUAUAUAGAUAUUCUGGAAAACUAUUUGGAAUAUUAUGAGUGAAGGAUAACAAAUAAUAAAGAGCAAAUCAAAGUGGCUCAAUUCCUAUUUAACUAAUCAUAUAAAGAGAUUCAUCUAUCCUAUCAUUCUUUCUAACUCAAAUUAGAUUCUUUUUAAAAGACAAUGGUUAUUGUAUUUGACUAUGGGCAUCAAAGUUGUUAUCACAGAAUUAGUACAAAAUGCAAAGAAAACCAAAGGAAAAGUAAAAAAGAAUAUAUAAUAGUCAUGCAAAAUAAUUUUGAAGUAAUAAUAGUUAGUUCUAACUACCGCUAAAUUAUAAAGGCCCAAUUUUUAUACAUCUAUGAGCCAACAAUCUAUAUACUCACUACAACAAAAACGGUCUAUAGCGACAUUUUUAAAUGUCGGUAUAGGUCAAAAAAAGUGCUGCUGGCUAAAUUAUCGACACUUUUAAAAAGUGUAGCUAUAUAUGGGGUCGCUAGGUAUAUAGUGACAGUUAAAGAGUGUCGCUAUAACCUAAAAGAGUGCUGCUAAUUUACCGAUACUUAUUUAAAUAUUUAGCAACCGCCGGAACUCUAUCUCAUUGGCUGCGGUGGUGGAGGAGGACGAGAGGAAGGGAUCUUCGUCUAGGAUUUCAGUAGAUUGAGUGAGGAGAGAAAGGGAGAUGGUAAUCGAUUUUUUUUUUUUUCUUUUCUGUUUAUAAUCGGGCCGAAUGGGCUGGGUGGGGUGGGUUGAGUAGAGUAACCUUUUAUUUUUGGUUGGAUUGGGCUUUAUAUUUAGGCGUUAGUAGAUUUUUUUUAAGUUUUGGCAUAAAUGAGACACUUACACAAAAGUGUCCCAAACAUGUGUCCCUAUAACCUAAUUCUUUUGUAGUGUAUGCUUAGUCUGUUGAUGCAAGAUGACAACUUAAUCAUUGUUCUCGAUAAUUUUACUUUGUCAGUUAUUAUGUAACUUAAAUAACUUAUUUAAGAAUAGUAGUGUAGAAUUGAUUUGACUUCAGCAAUAAAGAAAAAGAACUUUUAAAGAAAAAAUUCUUAAAGUUAUAGCUUCCACCCACAAGUAAGAUCAAAAUAAUAAUCACUCCUCUCUUAAGUUUGUUAGAAAUUUAAUGCAGUGAAGAUUAAAUCAUAAAUCAGAACCAACAAAAGAUCAAGAAAAGAGAGAUAAAAAUAAAUUGUAAAAAAUACUUCUUGUCAAAAGGUCCAAGUGCUGAUAAGAACACCACGUGACAAUAGUAGGCAAGCAUAAAAAACAACAGUAACGAAAAAAAAAAAAGUAACAUGGUUAAUUAUUCAACAAAAGUUUAAAAUGGAAUACCCAAAUUGAUAAACAGCAAUAAAGCAACUGGGCAAUUAAAAGCCUAACACCAAUGCAAGAAACAAACCCAACACUGACAUCGCAGGUAGGGAAAAAAUGUUCAAUAAUGCCAUAAAAAAGGAAAGCAUGCUUACUACGCUACUAAAAGUUUAAACACAUACGGGAAGUAAAAAAAAGUACGUAGAGCUUAUAGAAAACCAAGUAUAAAUAAAGAACGUUAUGUAAAAGAUAUUGGUUUCUAAUAGUCCCUACAACACUCGCCAUCAAGGCAUGCAUCAUUACAAAAGCACAAACGGGUGGAGAAGAGCAUGUAACUAUAUAUAAACAGCUAUGGAACAAUUAGGCAAUUGAGGUCUUAAUGCCUAUAUAAUCUAAACCAUUGAUUAAAAUACACAUAUAAUCAAAAGCUUCGCUAACCAUCGUGGAGCUCAUCACGGGCGAAACACUGGAUAAUUACAAAUCCCACUCUACUAAAUAAAAUAGUAAGAUAGACAUUAAUGUAUUUUUUUCCCUUUUUUUUAGCUUGUUUACUACAAAGCAAAAGUCAGGGGAAAAAAAAAGUAUGAACAAAUCCACUUUAAAACUAAAUGUUUCAAACACAACCUAGCAAAGAAAUUAUUAAAAGGCGAUAAUGUUGGAACAUUAACAUUCUUUUUUUUCCAAAAAAAAAACAAACUUGAUACAGGAAGAAUAAGCUAAUAGCUAUGAAGAAAAACAAAAGUUGCUAUAUAAAGGUGCAUGACAUAUAGCUAUAGGCUACCCAGUCCCUUAUUUCUAUCACAACAAACUCUCUUUUGUUUUUUAUGAACCACAAUCUAAGAUGAACACUUGACUAAAAAAGAAAUUUUAAAAAGCAAAAGUAAAUCUUAAAGUGAAACCAAGCAUAAAAAUAGAAGACAAUGCAACAAAAAUAAUAUAAACAACAAAUUAAUGUAACUAUAUUGAAACAGGCACAAAAAUAUUGGGACUAAGUUGUAAUAUUGGAAUUGUACAGGGACUAUACAUACAUUUUACCCUAAUAAAAAAUUUUCAAGGAGAUAAUUGUUCAAUCCCAGUGAGUUGCUAUCAAAAAGAAUGUUCUAAGACAACAUACAGAAGGGGUCAGGGACUUAGGUGAUGCUUUCAAUCAAAACCGAGUGUUGGAUAUUCCAUUACCAUCAUUAAUUACUUGAUUCAUCUCAGUCAUCCUUUUUUUAAUUUGACUCUCUUGUUAAUCACAAUGUAGGUUCCAUCCCCUACAUUGAGAAAGGCAAUCUUUGUCAAUAAAUAAUAACAGUAUGGACUCCCAAAGUAGUAAUAAAGAAUUAAUAACCAAUCAUACUUCUUGUUAAAGUAUAUGGCUAACUAUGUAAAUAAUUUCUUAAGCUUUAAAUCGAUGACUAAAUACAACAACUUGGUAUCAUAAAAGCUAUCACAAAAAGCAUUCAAACCAUUUAGUUGCAUUUUGAAAUGAGUAAAACAAUACCUUGACAUCAGGCUUCACAGAUUUCAAGUGUCUCCAAACACCAAUCACAGAACCUCCACUCCCUAUUCCCAUAACAAAGAUGUCGACUUGCCUUAGAGUAUCUUCCCAUAUCCCAGGACCAGCGGUUUCAAAAUGGAUCUGGUAUUGUAAAGAAAAAAUUAAAAAUAACUUUAUAAAACAAAAAAAAGGGUAUUUAGGCUCAAACAUAUAGAAACACGACAAAUGUGUGGAAUUAGGAUCUUAUCAUAGUUUAGUUUCACUUCCAUAAAAUAGUCAAUUGUGGACAUUAAGAAGUAUGUGUAUAAGAAAAUCUAAUUGCAAACAAAAUUAUAUUUAAUUAUUCGCUUUGAUUUAUUUUGAUAUGGAAAUGUUAUUAAGAAAGUCUAACUAAUCCAGAGCUAAAAAAAAUUUUAUAGCAGGAUCUAGAACUCCUCAAGAUAUACUAUUGCUUGUUUCUAAUAGUAAGAAAUGAACAAAACUGGCGAGACGAAAUUAGUAUAAAAAAUAAGCACUCUUAAGUUUGUUGACCUUAAAAUCUCAUGCUUUUGCAAAAGCCCGUGCGGCGUCCGCCUUGCUACUUAUAAAAUAAGCACCCUUAAGUUUCUUGACCUUAAAAUCUCAUUCUUUCACAAAAGCCAAUGCGGCGCCUGCCUUUCUCACCGGUCACUACAUUCUUUUCUAAAAUAUCUUAUCACUCAUUGGUUAAUUUCAACUUUUGUAAAUAAGAAUAAAUAUGUGAAUUGUUGUCGAUAGGCAUGAUGAGCUUGAAAAGAAGAUACUAUUCAAUGACAUAAAAUAUAUAACAUGUAGAAGAAGAGGUUAAGCUACCUUAUCAUUUGCAGGAUUCUCAAACUGCUGAAGCAUGAAGGUGUCGUGAUAGGACUCCAUAAGUUCAUACACUUUCUUCACGGUUCCGCCCAUCUCUUUGGUAGGGUUAGUCAGCACCAAAUUUGUGCCAUACACCCUCAUGACGACCCUCCUCUCAAGGCUCGUGUAUGACGGCAUGAUGAGCACCAUCUUGUAACCUUUCAGAGCCGCCAAUUUCUCUUCCUCUUGAAAGUGAUUGUACAAAAAAUAAAGAGAUGAAUCUCAGCAUGUAAAAUUUGAAGUAAUAAUAAAUCAUACUUAUAAAAGCUAACACUCAAAAUAUUACCCACAUAAAAUGAGUGCUCUAAAAAUUUUAUCUCUUAACAUCCCUUUUUUUUAAAAUGGCUGAUUGAGUUUUAUAUUCAAAGCAAAGUAUAAUAGAUCACUCGUAAAAUGUACUUAAAUUAAACAAAUUGAUCUAUGAGAUCAAAUAGGUAAAGAUUUUCCACUGAAACCAAUACUAAUCUAGGUUCAUACUCACAAAACAAAUGAAAUUGAAAAGAUAGAAUUGUAAAUAUGUAAUAUGCAUUUAAAAGACAAACCUUAGCAACAUGAAUAAAAAAAAAUAGCAAAGAAAAGAUGGCAUAAAAAAUUCAUCACCUUUCAGAUUAUGUGAAGCCUUACAAUCAUCAUGAUAUAUACGAUAUUGAAUAUUAACACCUAAUUUUUCUGUUUUAAUUGAACUGCAUUACUAAAAUAAUCUUUAGAUGAUUUUAAUGUAAAAUUUAUCAAAUUUAGGUUAAGUUUGAAUUUGAAAAUAGGUUAUAGAAAUUCUAACAGAGGAAUACUGAAUUAUGAAGAUAAAUUGCUCAUAAGAAAUCUUUGACUCACCAUUGAAGGAAGGCAUUCAUCGAACACCUACAGCAGCAAGAGAUCGAUAAAGGUAAAUAGAAAUAGGAAGUGUGUUGAGCUGGAGCAAGAGAUCAACAAAGGUGGAAGAGAAUGAAGAUUAAAAUGCCUACUACUUCAGAAGAAAAGGAAGGAAAAAACUAUUGUCUGCAUACAAUAUUUGACAUGCAAAUUCUUAUCAUUGAUAAUGCUCUCAAUGGAAAUUACUUUUUUUUUUCAGGGAAGGAAAUGAAAAUUACUCUAAUUCGAAAAGUUUCCCUUUCUAAGUAAACAAAUUUGAAUUUUUUUUUUUCUCCUAUAAGCGCAUGAUCCGUAACUGAUUCAGAUUUGAGCUGUCAAAAGACAAAUCAAAUUUGAAUUAUCAUUACUCGUACUGAAGUAAACAAAGUUGUUAUGUUGAUUUGAAGCUUCAGAAACUAAAUUGUUAAGAUUGAGAGUUAGGAAGCAUAUUUGAAAUCGUAACUAAGUUUCAGAGUUUUGCAAUUAUCCUUUUUGAUCAAAACCUUUAUUCAGCGGUAUGCCAAACUUAAUUCAAAUUAGAUCUCUAGCUUUCGAAACCUAGAACAUGGAGAUGGUCCUUGAUUUUUUUUUCAUUCUCAGGAGUAGAGAAGUUGUUCCAAAUGCAAAAUUCAAAAUAAAAUAGAACAAACAUGCCAUCAAAAGGAAGUUGUAUCCCACCUCAAGAAUCCUCUGUUGGAGCCUAUGCCUGCUCCACACCAUUUCAAAGAAGAAAAAAUGGAAUAGUUACUAAUGCUAGCUAUAAAAAAAUCGAGUCAUGGUUUCAAGUUAAGAAUUCAAUGUAAAUUUGGAAUGCUUAAAAUUUUGGAGACAUAAAAAUUUAAAAUGUUUAAUUGGAAGAUUCCAUGAAAAGACAAAAUAAGGAUCUAAAUGUAAAAAUUCAAAAGAAAAAAAGGAUUGAAAAAGAAAAGAAAAGAAUAUACUUAUUCAUUUUAGUAAUAAUAAAGAAUGUGCAAUACACUCCACAAUUGUAAAAUUUAUUCAUGAAAAUUCUUUAUUUCUAUAUUCCUUCUAUGGUCAGUCAAAGUUUCUUAUGAGCAAUUUAUCUUCAUUAACCAAUUUGUUCUUUAUUUGAAUAUCUAUAACCUAUUUUCGAGUUCAAACUUAACCUAAAUUUGAUAAACUUCAAAUCAAAAUCACCUAAAGAUAAAUCUCUUAUCUAUUAAACUUGAAAGAUCAAGCUUAAGCUCAGUUUGUUUGUUCUAAAGCUAGCUUAAAUACAAAUAAUCAUACUUGCGAAGGAAUUCGGCUAAAAAAGGACUGAUAGAAAGAGGGGGAAAAGCCUUAUAUCAUAUAACCAAUUUGCCUAUGUAAUUCACAUUAUUUUUUCUCCUUUUUAUUCUUAUGGCUUUUGGAUUGUCUUCACUACCAACAUUAUCUUCCUAUUUAAUGAAAUAUAUAAUGUAAAAGGUAAAAAUGGCCAUAAAAGGUGAAUUUUCCGAAUCAAUUUAUGUAAGGCCUAGAUUAUGAAUCAUCGUCCAUACACAACCACAUUUAUGCUCUAGAAUUUCGAAAGAAAAAGGUAAGAUGAUGUUGCAUGUAUUGGGAAUAAUUAGAAAUUGGAUUGAAUUAAAACUUGCAAGUUCACUCUAUAAAAUAUAGGGUAAAUUGGAUUAGGUAAAUUUUACAAAUCUUUCAAUUUAUGUGGUGAGAAAUACUCAAUUUAAUAAAAACAGAAGUUGAGAAAAAGGGGAGUAUAGUUUUGGGGACCAAUGUUUUUUUUUUAUAUCUUGGAAUUAAUAAUUUCCAAGAGAAUGUAGUGCGGUUGUAGGUAUGUUAAUAUUUCUACUAAAAUAUUCGGCUGCAACCUAGAUUCCAAGCAAGAGAAAUCAUAUCAAAAUUCAAAAGAGCGGGAAUGAAAUAAGGAUCAGAACUUUGCUCCCAUUUGCCUCUGAUUCAAGGAGGUUUCUCACAAAAUCGAUCUCACUAUGCAUCGCCGUGAGAAUCAAAGGGGCCUUUAUAAUGAAAAGAAAUAAAUCACACAAAAAUCAUACAUAUAUUUUAACCAUUUCCUUGCUUGUUUUUGCUCAUUUACCAUAUCAGGAUGAAGCAAUCGAUCCAAAACCAUUAAUAGAACAAAUAGAAACCCUAAAAAUCUCAUGAGCAUGCUAAUAAAAAUUACAAAAUAAUCACCAAAGAGAGAAAAAUGAUUAAGCGAAGCCGACCUCGACGUGGCCAUUUGCAGCGGCGAUAUGGAGUGUGGAGAGGCAGUCGUGGAUUGAUACGGUCCUACCGUAUCAAUAGGGAUAAACGAUCACUUCGAGGGGAUCGAACCUCCUAAAGAAUUAAGAAGUAAAGAAGUAGAGAGAAGAGGUAGAAAGAGAAGACAAGAUAUGAGGAAAAAGAGACAAUAUUACUUUCUUAUUUCUUGUAAUUCCGGGUUACAUUAUAUAGAGUCCAAAUCCUUAAACUACUCCUAAUCAUACCUAAUAAAUAUAUUCCCAAACAAGAUAACUGCCUAUUCCUAAAUAUAUUCCUAAAUAACAAGAUAUUUAAAUUUGAACUUGUUUAUUAAAAGGAAACUAUUAAAAAGGAAAGUUGAGGUCGCAUCAUGGAUUGUGAUCCGGCGGAGGAGAUCGGGAUCGAUGCGGAGGGAGGAGCGGACGGUGUCGAAGAAGGAUGCUCAUCGCUGGAUUGGCUAAAGCCCGAGCCCUGCUGCAGUGAUUUGGCUCUCUCCUUUCUCCCCCUGCUCUGGCAAUGGCUUCGGCAAGGUCUUAGGUAAUGGCUCCAGCAAGGACAUGAUCGAGAGAGCUAGGGUUUCGGGGGAGGGGAGAGGUCAAGGGGACGAAGGGGUUAAAGAAAAGGGUCGGAGAGGAGAGGAGAGGAGAUGAGAGGAGAGAUAGGGGGAGCAACCGGGAUCGAAGCGGAGGCGUUAUCGAAGAUGCGGGGUAGCAGGGAUCGAAGAGGCGCGAGUAUCAAACCGGCGGGGCAGCAGGUGGGAAAAUUAAGAAUGGGAUUAAGCGUAAGAUGACACGUGGAUGACUAACACGGGGAUUAAUAGAGGAUAUAUAGAUAAUGUGGAUAUAUCUGUUUAUUGUAUGUUUACAGAAUAAUAUGGUGUGAUAACAUAUUUAUAUGCUGAUAAUGCUUAUAAUUAAAACAAAUAUAAAAAUUGUAAAUUAAAUUAAGAAAUAUCUAACUUAUAUAUUCAAAAUGAAAGAUUUAUAUAAAAUAAAUGCUAUGUUAAGAAUACAAGGGAAGAAACAUAAUGAGAGUUAUGCUUUGUAUCAAACACAUUAUCUUACGAAAUAAUUUUAAGAUAUAAUAAAUAAAGAAUAAAGGAAGCAAGUGUCUCACUGUACUUAGGCCAACUUGGUCAAAGUUCGGUACAACGCAUUGGGGAUUCGAUAUAUUACAGCAAGUACCCUUUACUAUACUUCUCUAAAUUAGCCAAAUAGUAAGAUGUACCAGGACCUAAAGCUAAGAUCGGGAUAGAUUAUGUCACAGGUUUAUCUCAGUCACCACGGGGCCACGAAGCCAUACCUAUCAUUGUGACGCCCCAACUUCGAGGGUCACCCAUCAUACGACUACUCCCGUCCUAACACGCUUAACUUUUUUAAUCUCUUGGGCCUAGCCACUACCCUAAAUGCUUAAGUCGGGUUAAGAGUUUAACCCUAUUAUAUCUUAUAUAUAGGACUACCUGGGGUCUCACAAAUCUCCCCUCCUUAAGUCCUAACGUUCUCGUCAGGCCCAGACUCACAAGUACCAGGCGAUGUGAGACUCGUCUCGUCUCGCUAGCCUAAACCAACCUUGUGGUGAGCUGUUCUCUACCCACAACAGUCAAUAGCAUAAGAGCCUCGCUUUCCCCGUUGUAUAAUUCUGGUUUAGCCGAGACUCAUCUCACACUUCCGGCUGGUAAUUGGCUCUGAUAUCAAAUGUAACGACCCGACCCACUAGCAAUAAUAACUCAUUGAACCCAAACUACUAGCGCAAAAUGUUUAAGCCCAGUUAUUAUGUCUAGCCUAAUCAAGCUUAUAUGCUCCCACAUCUAGCCAUAACUAUCCGAUGUAGGAUUAUUGUUGUGGUGUGACACCCAAUAAUCCCACAUUGAAUAGUUAUGACUAGAUAUGGGAGUAUAUAAGCUUAAUUAGGCUAGACAUAAUAACUGGGAGUCGGGUCGUUACAGUCAUUGUGGAUCUGAUGUGGGCAUGAUUAGAUAGAUGUGUUCCCGUUACAGUCAUUGUGGAUCCGAUGUAGGCAUGAUUAGAUAGAUGUGUUCCUGUGGUAGUAGCUUUGUGUUUCAGAUAUAUCUUUUUGUUUAGACCCCUUAUGUAGUUAGUUAUCAUUCACGAUGGUAGUUGUGGAUUUGGGCUUCUGAGUAGUUUCUUGUAGAUUCUUUUACAGUGUUUGUUAAUAUUCAUCUCUAUAUGUUCAUAACUUAUUUAUUCUUAUUAUUGUUGUUCCUAUUGUGCUUAAUGUGUUGGUUGAUAUUAUACUGUAGAUUCCUACGUCGUGCAUAUACAGAAGAGACUUUGGUUUGAUUUUUUUUUCUAAAGAAAGUAUACAUUUUUCACUAUUUUUUUUGUAAAUAUUUUUACAAAAGAGCUCUAUGUUGUGAUGGUUAUUGGCUAUUUUUUUAUUGCGGAUAUGGUUAGAGAUUUAGUUAUGGUACUCUAAUCUACAUUUCAAGUCCUACUAGUGUUGUUUUAUUUCCUUAGAGUGCGUUUGGUUCACAUUCUCUAUAUUAUUUUCAGUUAUCUCAUUACGACAAUGAAAUUUUUGUUAAUCUUUCAAUAUUUAGGAAUCUUAAAUAACUUAAGUCUUACAUUUUCAUAUAACUUAAAUUUAAAAUUCAGAUUUUAAUCGUACAGAGGUGCGGCGAUGACAACCAGAAGAGGGGUUCUGGGUCAUAACAAGAACAAUAAGAUAUACAAUUUAUGAUCUAUACAAAUUUGGUUUUGGUGAAUUCACUAGCCUUUGAUGUUGUCAAAUUAUUUUUAGUAAAUAUGAUCGAUGAAACGUGUCAUUAAGGUAGCCAUUUUUAUCAUUGGCAGAGAUAUAUAUGAAACUUGACUAAUCUGAGUGAAAUCACAAAAUCUAAUUAAUCUUAUCAGUAUUUAAAAAAAAAAAAAAAAACUCUUUUAAUAAUACCGUUCAUAUAUACCAACCAUCCUUAUUGCAAGUGACAAAGAAUUUGGUGGUUGGCUAAGUUUAUUUCUAAAAAAAUGAACGAAGCGAUUAGUAUGCUACCUUUCUGUCAAAAAAAACUUAAUACCAUUCAUAUAUGUAGUCUAUUUUUUGAGAGACAAAUAUUUUUGUACACCACUUCAGAUUACUGCUGAAUAUUUGCUCCUUACCGUUUAUGGAUAUAGACCAGCAGUUGUACCAUAAAAAUUGCUAUAUAUGUACAAUAUUUUCUUCACUCUCUUUUUUUGUCGAAUUUUAAUUUGUUAUAGUAAACUUUUUAAAUUGUUUUAAUCAAAUCACAUAAUCCAAUUAAAAUGAUCGAUCGAACAGUGAUUCGUCGCUAAUAUAAUAGUAAUAUAAUAAUAUUUUAGUCAAUGUGUAGCAAAUUUCAGUUAAAUAUAUAAAUUAAUCCAAAAGACGUAAAUGCUGUAAGAUUGAAAGUUUGACUUAGAAACUAUAACACAUUAAAAGUUGAAGAUCAAAGUAUCACAACUUAUAGUUAGAGGACCAAAACUGUAAUUUAUCUUUCUCUUUUUCUUUUUGAGGUUUUAUAUUUGGGGAAUUGGGGCCUUUUGGUCUUCUUCUUGAAAGAAAGGGCCUAGCUAUGCGGCGCAUUCGUAGAGCGCAUCACAAGUCUGCUAGAGAAAACUCUUGAUUUGGAGCUUUUUUUGUAAAAAUCAGAUUCGCUAGUAGUAAUAACUCAUUUGGUCUAAAUCAUCGGCCCAAAAUGCUUAAAUUCAGUUAUUAUUAUUAGUAUUCAUAAUCUUUUAUAUGCUCAAUCACAAUCCCAAUUUAUCAGAUGUUGGACUAUUUGGGUGUCACAAACUUUCCUUAUUUAGAUGCUAACGUUCUUAUCAGCUUAAUUACACGCACAACCCAAAAUUGUUAGGUGAUGUGAAACUUGUCUCGCUUGCAUUAUUAUUCUGAUCGUGGCUUAGCCUGCAAUUCUAACCCUGGCUUUAGGCUCGAAAUUCAUUUCAAGCCGAGGUUGAGUAUUACUCGGCUCGUUCGAAUUAGGCUCGAAAAGCUCGAAAAGCUCGAAUAUAUAUAUAUAUAUAUAUAUAUAUAUAUAUAUAGGGUUUAGGGUUUAGGUAUUUAUAAAUAUAAAAUAUUUAUAAAUAUAAUGUAUUUUAAUUAUAUAUAGGCUUUAAUUUAAUUUGGGCCAUUAUUGUUGGCCCAUAAAAUAAACCCAACAAGUACAACCGUGCAAUGAGCUCAACUCUAAAUAUUACAUAAACCACUCUUCUUUUUAGAUUUUCACUGUUGCACAUAAUCCUAAAAACAUGAUAACAUGUCAAAUUCCAAUCCCUAAUUUUUUCUCCCGCCUCUCUCUCUCUCUCUUCUGCUCGCUUCUUCUCUCUUCUCUCUCUCUGUCUCUCUUCUUCUCAGACCCUCGACCCCAGUCAGGCAGUCACCCUUGCUCACAUUUCUUGCAAUUAUUUUGUAUUUUGAACUAUUGGACAUGUUGCAUCAAUUAUAGUAUGUUCUAUAAAAAUUAAUAUAUUGAUUAUAUUAAUGUCGAGAAUUUCAUCGGCUCGUUUAGAGCUCGAGCUCGGCUCGACUCGAAAUUAGCCGUCGUCGAGCUCGGCUCGAUCGAAUUAGGCUCGCUCGAGCUCGCGCUCGAAAUUAUUUACAAGCGAGCUUGGCUAGAUAUUUAGGCUCGAAAUUAAUUUCAAGCCGAAUUUGAGCUGACAUAAGCUCGCUCGAGCUCGGCUCGUUUCCACCCCUACCUGGCUUAACCGAGACACAUCUCGCACUUUCGAAUUGUGAUUGGUUCUGAUACCAAAUGUAACGAUCUAACCCGCUAGUAAUAAUAACUCGUUACACCCAAACAACCAGUCCAAAAUAUUUAAGCCCAGUUAUUAUUAUGUGUUCAUGGCCUUUUAUGUACCCAAUCACAACUACAUUUUAAUCUACAGAGUCUCUCCUAUAUUUACAACAAGUCUGUUCCAUCCCAUGGGCAAGGUUAUAUUUCAAAAACUAAUUGGAUAUUUUUCGCUGACUCUAUUUUCGAAUUAGUCUUUUUUCAAAAAGACUUUACAAAACGGGCCUUGAGGCAUAGGGGAAUAAACGAGCCGAACACUAGCGAGCUAGGGUCAGCUCGUGUUCGGCUCGUUUAUUAAUCGAGACGAACAUGAGCUGGCUCGUUAAGAUAUCGAGCCGAAAAAUUCAACUCAUAUUCGGCUCGUUUAUUAAUGAGCCGAACACGAGUUGGCUCACGAGCUGACCAACGAACAAUAAAUUAAAAAGGAUUAGAUUAAAUAUAUAUAUAAAAUAAAUUUAUAAAAUUUUAUCUAUUAAACUUUGAUCUAACAGUUGAAACUUUACAUAUAAAUAAGUCUUUUUAUAAUUAAACUCGCAUUUAUAUUUUUAUUUCGCUAAAAAUUAAAUAAUAAAAAUAUAUAUUAUUAUAAUUAUUAUAUAUAUAAAAGUAUAAAUUAAUAAAUUAUAAAAUAUAUAAAAUAUAUGUAUCGAGCUGUUAUCGAGCGCAAACACCGAGCGAGCUGACCCAGUGGUUCGGCUCGUUUAUUAAACAGACUGUGAGANNNNNNNNNNNNNNNNNNNNNNNNNAUAUUACACUAUGAUAAAAUCAUGUUAACAAUAAAUACAAUAAAUUUUAUCAAAUUGUAGGCAAAUUUCAGUUAAUAUAUAAUUAAUAACCAAAAGACGUAAAAUCUGUAACUGAUUGAAAGUUUGACUUACAAAACUAAACACAUUAAAAGUUGAAGAUAAAAGUAUCACAACUAAUAGUUAGAGGACGCAAAACUGUAAUUUUAUCUUCUCUUUUUCUUUUUGAGGUGUUAAUAUUGUGGGGAAUUGGCCUUUUGGUCUUCUUCUUGGAAAGAAAGGCCUAGCCUAUGGCGUGUCGCACUUCUGUAGAGGCGCAUCAAAUCUGCUAGAGAAAACGUCUUGAUUUGGGACGGCUUUUUGUAAAAACAUCUCCAACGUAACGGAUAUUCUCGAAUGAGUGAUUUAGGAUACACAUUCUAUCGUAUUCAUUGUUUAGGCCAUAAAUAGAUCAAACUCGAGAACAUAAUCAAAAAAUUAUUUUCUAGAUGGACUUCUUAAAUUCAGUUAUCUAUUAUAUUCCAGAAAUUAUCAUAUCCCUAUUUAUAAUUUAAUGCUCCGAAGCGAAGCACAAGCAUCCGAAAUCUCGAUAUCAAGAAGCGAUCUUGAAACAUCAAUAGAGGUGGUGGAUAGCACGUGGCCACAGGCUUCCGUGCUUCCGAUAAUAUGCCGUCAAUCCUAUAUAUAUAAAAAUAUAUAGAUAUAUAUAUAUAUAGAUAUUAAAUCACUGUAUAUUCUCUUUAUAUAUUGAACACUUUAAUAAGUACAAAAAUUAAUGCUUUAACGAUUUCAGUUAUAUAAUUACCUACUUAAUUACAUCCUAAAAAUCAGAAAAAUUCUAGUAUGCAAUGGAUAAUGUGGUGACGUACGCGCGACAAGUCAUCAAAUGUCCUUAGGUCAUCUCGUAAUCACUUACAGAAAAUAUGUAGUCAAAUGAUAUUAUUUUAUUUGUGGAUAACCUUUUUAUUUGUUUUUUUCUAACACUAAAAUGUAAGCAUUGAAUUUAAUUUUUAUUAAUAACCUGAUCAGUGGCUUAAGCGACUGCUAAUUCUAUGUGGGCAAAGUUGAUAAGUAUAACACGAAUGUCCUCUAAACACUGGACUUUAGCAUCAAACACAUGAAACCCAAUGACGUCAUCGCUCUAGCUACCAAGCACUGAGGCAAAUGGUUAGCAAUACAAUAAAAGGUCCGUGAAGUGGCUUCUCUCCGGCGGAUACGUCUAAGCACCCCAGUAUUUUUUGAGAGGUAAUAUUGUAAGAAAAUGUACGAGCCGAGGGGUUGACGAAGUGUCGGCGCCUUCGGCCGGAACUCACGAAAAGUCCGUGACGAGCGGAUCAGGAUGUUCGGUUGUUGCUUUGUUGGGACGGAUAGAUUGCAGGCCUCGAGAUAUAAGAUGCAUGGGUACAGCGAUCCGUGAGUGAUACUUACCACCCUUGUUUGAUGUUAUUUUUAUGACCUAAAAUUAAACAUUUUAAACUCAGAGUCUUGAACAACCAGAAAUCAACCUAUAGUGAUGUCUCUGACUAGUAACUCCAUUUUAUUAGAUUACGUUACGUGUGAGCUUUGAGUAUUGUACCGGUUUACAGGAGUAUAUCAAUUUAGUAUGUUGGCUUUCCUCGUUCGAAUUCAGGGUUUCUCACUUUGAGAUAAUAGCUGCUGGUUGAAAAAAGUCUGCCGAAUUAUUCAAUUAUAAGUAUCAUGUGUAUAAUUUCUAAUUUUUCACUGGAUGCAGUCUAUAACUCAUCUCUAUAUAAUAUUAUCGUUAAAUUAUACUACAAAAAACCCAAACCAGUAUAUCCUAUCUAUGUAAUGAUAUUUACCUACGAUCCUUUAGUUUUAAAUUUUGAUCAUUGAUGUUUUUUUCUUUCGUUAUACUCCCUCGUAAAUUAAUACAAACUUCAGAUACCUUCUCUGUCUAUUCGAAUACUUUACUUAGUCCCUUUUAAUUUGAACAUAUAUAUUGUGACUACUUGAGAUUACGAAAAAAUAGUGAGUUUAUGGGUUUAUAAUAAGAUAAAUAUAUAGAAUAAUAAAUAAUGAAACCACCAGAAAACUAUACAUAUUAAUACUAUUUUUAAACCAUAGAUAGGUACUAAUUAAAAGUGAGAUGUAAUUAGUCGAAAACCACAUAGAUACUUAUAUCAAUCUAUUAAAACCAAUAUAACGUGACAUAUGUAGUAGAAUUAUAAAAUUGUUGAAAGACGCCCAUUCCAUUGGGUUAUUUGAAAUUUUAUCCUUUUGUUAUUGUUAAAUAUUUUAGAUAUUAUCUAUGCGCCAUGUGGUUUCAUCCCAAUAAAAUAUUAACCCAACAAUAUCCAUUAGUCGCUUCACUUUAAGUACGCGUUGAUUUAUAAGUGUAUCAUUAUAUCAGUGUGUUCAUUUUCUCGCUUUCCAUCAGCCGCAAGUUGAUGCUGCAAACUCUAAAUUUACCGUAUAUAAUAAACUUCGUAAAUAAUAUAGAAAAACUUUCAAAUACCACAUUAAUUUAUCGAGUUCAAAUUUAGUACUUUUAUGUUUUUAAACUUGUCACUGGAUUUAACCAAAAAAAUUAAAGAAAUUAUGAAAAGAGAAAAUAAAAUCACGGCUCGUACUUUAAAUGAUACGCGUCUUAUUAGACUUAAUUCCAGCAGGUAUUUUAAAAAAAAAGUAUGCAAAACAUAGGAACACUUAUAUUAAAUUUUCCCUUAUAAUUAUAAAAUAGUAAUAGUUUCAUCUGAGAUUUCUUAACUGUCCCCAGCAACUUAAUUCCUAGAGUAUAUGAUCCUGGAUUUAGUUCUUCCAUACGACUAAAAAUAUUCUAAAGAAUCUGGCAAUUCCUAUCUGAUGCCAAUGCCCUUGACGCGAUCAAAAAUAUCUUUUUAUUUAUAGAUUGCGCAAAAGGUUUGAGCUAAGGGUUUCGUUUGGGUAUUAUUAAUCAAUUUUUAUUUUUUAAAUAUUAUUUUUAUAUAAAAUAAUUGUGAAAUGAAUUAAAUUGUGCUCGCCAUUCCUUUACAUCCAAGUACAGUUCUAUUUGGUCCAAUAAUAAAAAAAUUUAAAUUUUUUUUGGCUUUUGUAUAUUGUUAAAUGAAAUAUAUUACAUUUCAUAGAACGUAUCUUAUCGUACAAAAAUCACAUGCAAAAAAAAUAUUCACAUCUGAUUUUACAUAAUCAUUACUUGAAAAAAUAUUUUAAAUUAAAAGAGCAUAUAAGCUCAUAACGUCUCCUUAUUUCUCUUUUUCGUAUCUUUUGGACUCUCUAUAGAAACAACCAAAAUUCCGUAGGAAAUUUCAUCUAAUCAAUAAUAAUAAUAAUAAUAAUAAUAAUAAUAAAUUAUUUUAAUUUUAUAUAUACCAGAAACAGGCGGAUUGAAAAUACAAACAGUAGUGUAGGGACGAGGUGAUCCAGUCAGCGGAAGAGCGCGAGCAACGUCACGGGCUAAUGAAUCGCGCGCUCACCGGACAAAUACCGAAGUGCGUGCUCUCGUGCUCUAAUGGUCUCUACGUGCUCAUUGGCUUCUGAACUAUGACAUUGGAAAAUUAGAAGAGCAAUAAAAGAACAUGAUGAGCAAAAAUAUUUAUAAUAUAACAUGAUUUUUUUGACUCAGUUUUUGAUAAAAAUCGGAGAUCGUAAUUGUAAAAACAAAAAAAGAAUGGUCUAUUAGAACUUCGUAGCUAAAAAAGUUCAAUACUUAUAUUAUGAAUUUUUAUAUGGACAAAAUUAUCUUCUUAAAUAAAUAAAUAUACUGAAUAGAUUAAUAUCACGUAUGAAAGAGUUUUUAUUAUAGUUCAAUUCACAAAGAGCAUGAAAAUAUCGAUUGUUCGCGGGGGACGCUGGCUGCUCCACAGGGAGCAAAAUAAGCCGUUCCUUACUCACUGCUUACGCAAACUGCGCGAACCUAAUCUAGUGCACUGUAAUGGAUCAUCUCGACCGUAAAUAAACCCUAUACACUCAAGAGGAGGGCGUUUGUUUGUAUGCUACCAAGUUCGACUCAUAUUAAUACGACUAUUGUUUACGCAAAUUAAGCCGCGUAGAUCUCCUCUUCGUUCCGAAUCCGUUGCCUCUCUUCCGUCUAUUGCUAAAGAGCCAAUCAACGACUCGCCUCAAAAAAUAUAUAAUAAUAUAAUAUUAGGACAUAAUAGAAUUAAAUUAUAUCUAUAGACGAUGACCGUAUAGAAUGUAAGAGGGGGAGAGGAGAGCUAGAGAGAAGAGAGUAGUAGGAGGCAGAGGGACGUAGGGAGACGAAAAUAUAUGUUCAUGAAGAGUGGGGCGGGGCGUGCAAACAUAAUGAGAUCUGACCAUCAUCGCAGUCCGCCGGGCCAUCGGGCCCACGGCAUCUGGCGGAGGUGGGAAGUCUUCGCGGGUUGCAGGAUAUGUGUCAGCGCGGCAGGGGACGUGAGGGCGCUGAGCCAAGGACGAGGUAGGCAGUGUAUGAUACGCGAGACAGACGGCAAGAGCGCAGAGCAUGGGGAAUUCGGCGUCCUGACCAUCGCUUCGCACUGCGCCGGCGCCGGCGCCGAGCCGGGCGCCGCAGCUCCCGCCGCGACCAGCCGCCCGACUGCCUUGAUCAUUCGGCUCCCAUUUUCCGACUGCGGAAUCGUCGACGACCUCGCGCUUCGCAUGAUUUCCGAAUGAGUGUGACUUGGAUUCUGAUACCGAGAGAGAUGCGAGCGAGAGACGUCCAACGACCAGCAUAGAGUAGUGAAUAUACAAAUUCAUUAAAGUAAUAACACCUCGUUACACUUUCUUUUUUCUUCUUUUUCUUUUCCUUUUCUUAAUUCAUCAACUCAUCCAGAUGUCAUGUCCAAAAUAAAUACAGCAUAUAAAAUCAUAAUUUGACUAUAAUUAUAAAGCCAGUUAUUAUAUUUUUUAUGUUUAGUCAUAUUAGUCCUUUAUUGUGUUUAUAACUACUUUCUUGUUACGCAUUCAUAAAACAAUCUGAAAGAAUAGACAACAAUUUUUAACAUCUGGAUCAUAGGUAUUCGUUUUUUUCACACUAUAUUUCUAAACCAAGUCCUAGCUCAUUGUUCCCCAUGGGCAAGUGAUACAAAUUUCUUUAUCUUCAAUUAUCUGAUCAAUCUAACUGACAUAUAUUUGCGCAUAGAACUGGUUAUCGGAGGAUUUCAGCUUGACGUCACUAAGAACAUUAUUUCUCCGUCGUGCCAACGAGAGAUAUAAGGAAUCUUUUUUUUCAAAAAGACUUUAUCAAGAAUUCCUGAAUAAUUCAGACUGUGAAUGCUAGUUAAGAGGACAUGUAAGAUAGCGGCGACGAUAUCAUCUGAAGCUUUCAGGCCAUAGGUCAGCUCCGUAAAAAGUUAGUGUCCGAAGAAAACUAUUCGGAUAAAAUUUUUAUGAAACAUACACGUUUCUUUUAAUCUCAAAUUUCAAAUAUUCGAUCUCUGAGCAGAAAAGCAAAAACUACUCUAUUUCUAGGGACCGAUGACUGGACCGAAGGCAGAUAAUCUAAGAUUCAUCUCAGAGGCUCAGAAAAGAAAUUCAACUCAUGUUUUUCUGGACUCGUUUAUUAAUGAGCCGAACACGAGUUGGCUCACGAGCUGACCAACGAACAAUAAAUUAAAAAGGAUUAGAUUAAAUAUAUAUAUAAAAUAAAUUUAUAAAAUUUUAUACAUUAGACUUUGAUCUAUUUGAAACUUUACAUAUAAAUGAGUCUUUUUAUAAUUAAGCUCGUAUUUAUAUUUUUAUUUUGCUAAAAAUAAAUAAUAAAAUUAUAUAUUAUAUAUAUUAUUUAUUUAUAUAUAAAAAUAUAAAUUAAAUAAAUUAUAUAAAAUAUAAAUAUAUGUAUUCGAGCUGUUAUCGAGCGAACACCGAGCGAGCUGACCCAGUUCGUGUUCGCUCGUUAUUAAACAGCUGGAGAAUCUGACCCCAGCUCGUGUUCGGCUCGUUUACUAAACGAGCGAGCCGAUCUCGAGUUCAUUUCGAACCGAACACGAGCUGGCUCGCGAACAGCGAGCUGGAUUGCCACCCCUAUUGAGGCAUGACACUUUUUUGUUUUUUGUAAUUGCCUGUGAAAACACACAUAACUGUAAUAACCAAAUAGUGAACCAAAUACUUUAGAAAUCUUGUGUACUAAGACUAGGGGUGUAAUGUGGGCCGAGUUGGCCCCAUUCAGCCGGGCCAAAACGGGCCGGAGGCUAGCCCGACACGGCCUAGCCCCAAAUUUCUUGGACCCUUGGCCCAGCACGGCUCCUCGGCGAAGACGGGGCCGGGCUUCGGGCCAACUUUUUUUAUUUAUUAAUUUAUUUAAAAUAUAUAAUUUUUUUUAAAAAAAUAAAAAUAAAAAUAAUAUUUUUAAACAAUAAUAUAUUAGUGAGUAUGUUCCAAAUUUUUUUCAAAAAAUAUUUAUAAAAUAAUAAAUUUUUAAAAAAUUUUAAAUAUUUUGGACCAAAAUACCCUCCCCAACUGUCAAAUAUUUGACUGCUGGGGAGGGCAUCUUUGUCCAAAGAGGACCAAAAUACCCAACUCGCAUGGAAGGCGGGCCAGUUCUGUGGGCUGGUUGGCAGACCUUGCACCCAGCUUCCAAGGGCCGGACCGGCGGCAGUUGGGAGAGUACAAACAUAAAGCUGGAAUGAGAAUUUUGUACGAAAUACAGAGUUGCAAUUCUAAAAAUUUUAUUUUGCUUUUUAUGCGGCUUCGUUCGGAACUGUGGGGAUUGCAUUACGUAUAAUAAAAAAGUGUGAUGAAAAAAUAUUUUUUUUUCCGUACGUAAUAUUGUGUUUCGCAUAACGCGAUGAGUCGGUUACAACGUAUUUUCUACGUUCUCACCGGAAAACGCAGAAACAUAUCUUUACAUAUUUUUAUCCCAACUUCAUUUUAUUUAAUAGCGUCGGAUGGGCCUCAAUACCAAACUAAACCUCAUUUGCCCUUAAAUUAGAGGCAAAAUAAGUUUUUUUUUCUUUUUUUUUUUUACUUUUUGCUUUUUAAAUAUAUCCUUCUACUGUUAUUAACUUUUCUUAUUUAUCCUUAAGUUUGGAACAAAAUAGAUAUUUUGACUUUUUUAAAUUCUGAUAGAAAUUUAAUCCGGAGAGAUAAAAUUAACGCAUAUUAACAGCAGGAUUAUUUUUUAAUAAUAAAAAGAAAAUAUACGAGUGGUAUAUUUAAAACAAAAAGAAGAAUUGAAAUAUACGAAAUAUUUCAGAAGUUUUAAGGGAUACACUAGAUAUCAUCCCUAAAAGGUUCCUUUAAAUAUCCUUAUUUCCCCAAGGAUGUUACUUUGUGGAUUGGAUUUUUUGAAUAGGGAUUUUAGUAAUUUUAUAAUAAAAUUUAAAAAUUUUGAAUAGUAAUGAGGAUAAAUAAGCAAAAUCCCCCUUGAUGUUUGAUAUUCAACAGUAACUAAAAGUGUAAAUUGAAAAAUGUCCUAAAAAUUAUUAUUUUUGUCAAAUCAAACUUAGCAUUAAUUUAAAGCUAAUCACCCACCAACCAAUUCCGUGUUCAAAAGUCGCCAACGCACGUUGCACCUUUUUGAAUGGAUAAAAAUUAAUACACAUACACAAUACGAUAAUACCAGUUCAGCUGGGUCAAAAAUGUAUGGAGAUCCCCUCAAUACACGCUAUUUUGAAAUAGGUCCUUGAUUAAAAGUAUUUAAACUUUAUUUCUUUCCACUUCAUUUAAUUUAAUUUGAGUAAUUUAACUUACGUUGAAGUUAAAACUUUAGUUAAAUCAAAUAAACCGUGAUUCCGUAGAAUUCAACUGCUCUAACUUAUUUGUGUUUGGGAAAGGUGUAGAUUUCAUUAAUUAAUCAAUCAUUUGUAAAAGGGAAAACUUCAAAAAAAAACCCGUGGUUUCGUCGUUUCUUACUUUGCUCCCCUAUGGUUUAAAAUGUAUCAAUUUGCCCCUCUGUGGUUUCUUUUUUCUCUUUUUUUUAUCAAUUUCAUUAUUUUUUUUCUUAAAUCAGUGAUAAAGUUAAAAUUAAAGGAUACUAAAGUGAAUAUUUGAUAAAUCUAAAUGGGUAUCUGAAGUUUUUUGUAUAUAAUUUAAUGAAAUAUUAACGAAAAAGCUACCGAAAAGAUAAAAACGAAACCACAGGGGGCAAUUGGAUACUUUUUAAACCACAGGGGGGCAAAGUGAGAAACUAUGAAACCACAGGGGGGGUUUUGAAGUUUUCUCUUAAAAACUCUCAAUUCAAUUGAGCAAAAUAACUCACAUUAGAAUAACUAAAACCCAUGAAUUUUAAUUCAAAAAAAAGAAAAAGAAAUUCAGGAGAUCUAUUUUUGCAAUAACUUGUUUCUCUAGACAAAUUGCAGUAAAUAUAAAUAUUAAAAGUAUUGUUCCUUAACAAAUUAAGCUUUUAUAAACAAAUAAUUAUUUCGCAUAAUUUAAUAUAGUAUCAAAAGAGAAAGUCCUAGAUUCGAGAAAAUUUACGUCUUAAGCCUAUCAAAAAGUUUCGAGUCUAAAUAUAAGACAGAGUGUUAAGUACAAAUAUUGAAAAUGCUGUUCUCUAGCAGCUUAAGGUCUAGAGAAUAACGAUUGUUCCUCAGCGUUGAAGGAUUGGAGGCCCUCUUCGAACCCACGGAUGACAUGCGAGACCUCUGGUCAAGAUAUUGAUCGAGUUAAACAACACCAAAAAGAGACUUUCCUUCCCGUCUCUUCUUUCAGCCAUUUGGUGGGUAGUUUGGACGGAGCCGAACGACAUUAUCUUUCGGCAGACGCUCCCCAAUCCUACUCAAAGUUUGGAUCGAGUUUUACUCCUGUCGGCUAUCUGGAACGCACCUCUUUGAUUUUAUUUAGCUUUCUCUUUCCUUUAUUUUGACUCCUGACUCUCCUAAAUUUUCUGCUCCCUUCUACUCUAUAUUUUCCUCGGAAGCCCCGGCUGCGUCCAUUUUGUAAGCUAAGUUCAUCUUCCUAAUGAAUGAAGCGGGUAGCUCGCUACCUAUUUCUCAAAAAAAAAAAAUAAUAACACUUCUGACCAUAAUUUUAUUGCUUUCAUAUUUGAAAAAACCUACACACUAUCUCAAUAUUUGUAUGAUUUGUCGUCUUACGUGCUAUCCUAAUAGUUUCACAUUGGAUGAAAAUAAGAUUGUGAAUUAGAUAUAUAAGAAACUAUGAACUCUAAUAAUAAUAAAUGUAAUUAACCAUUUUGGGACAGUGGUUUAAACCUAACGAGUUUUUAUUGAUAAUAAAUGUAAAAACUCUCAAUUCAAUUGAGCAAAAUAACUCACAUUAAAAUAACUAAAACCCAUGAAUUUUAAUUCAAAAAAAGAAAAAGAAAUUCAGGAGAUCUAUUUUUGCAAUAACUUGUUUCUCUAGACAAAUUGCAGUAAAUAUAAAUAUUAAAAGUAUUAUUCCUUAACAAAGUAAGCUUUUAUAAAAAAAAUAAUCAUUUUGCAUAAUUUAAUAUAGUAUCAGAAGAGAAAUCCUAGGUGCGAGAAAAUUUACGUCUUAAGCCUAUCAAAAAGUCUCGAGUCUAGAUAUAAGAGAGAGUAUUAAAUAUAAAUAUUGAAAAUACUAUUCUCUAGCAGCUUAAGGUUUAGAGGAUAACAAUUGUUUCACAUAAUUUAAUUAAUACUUCUGACCAUAAUUUUAUUACUUUCAUAUUCAAAAAAACCUAUACAAUAUCUCAAUAUUUGUAUGAUUUGUCGCCUUACAUGCUAUCCUAAUAGUUUCACAUUGGAUGAAAAUAAGAUUAUAAUUAGAUAUAUACCAUACUAUGAACUCUAGUAAUAAUAAAUGUGCUUAACCAUUUUGGGACAGUGGUUUAGGCCCCACGAGUUAUUAUUACUAGAAGGUCGGGUCGUUAUGCUUGGUACCAGAAUCGGUUCACCAGCCGAAAGUAUGAAAUGGACCUCACAUCACCAGAUGAUCUUAGACUGACGAAGGCAUAAGUGUCUUAAAACAAAGAGAUAGGACCAGUUAUAUGUCUCAUGAGUGCUGGUUGGUAUGAUGCUGUUGCUUCUCCUUCAAAGAAAAGUCUAAACACAAACUCUCUCCGAAUUCAAUCUCCUUUAUUCUAGUAGGAUUUCUUGAUCAUGUUGAUGCAUCUUCACCUAAUUAUAAGAAACAAUUUUAAACUCUUCACUAUUAGGGCUUGUUUGGUUCAAGGGUGGAAUUGGAAUGGAUAAUGGAAUGGAAAUGAAUUGGAAUGGUAAUUGGAAUGGCCCACUCCCUCAAGACGUUUGGUUUAUUUGUGGAUGGGAAAUUGGAAUGAGUUAUUCAUAUUUCAUUAUUUGGUUCGUAUAAAUUAAAAAAAUUAUAGGAUACUAUAAUACUAAUUUUACUCUUAAAUAUAUAUUUAUAUUAUUUAAAAUUUAUGAAAAAUAUAAUACUAUUCUCUAAUAAGUUUUUCAAAAAAAUAUCAAAUUUAUUUUUAAAAACUUUUAUUGAUGUGGAUUAGGGAUAGGGUNGGUUUUGAGAGAGGAUAGAUUUUUUUUUUUUUUUUUUGAUGAGAAAGGGGUGAAGAGAAGGAGGGUGAGAUGGUUACAUGGGCUUCGAAAACUUAGUGAGCUUCCAGAAUGAAAUCUCAAUCCGGGCUAGAAGACCGGAAUCAAGUUGAAGGCUAAUGGGCCAUUCCCAUUCUGGGUCCGGAAUAGAAAUCCCAAACCGAUUCAUGUGAACCAAAUAAAAUUAACCGGAUUUGAUCAAACCGAUUCCCAUUCCAUACCCAAAAUCGAUGAACCAAACAAGCCCUUAAAGUAUCCUGAUUACUAAACAUAUGCACUAUAAAAGUUUUCUUUUCUACUUGAGAUGGAACUGGCCAUUUAGGGGUUAUAUGGCGCAGAUAAAUUUUAACUACUAGUUUCUAUAAGGUUGAACUACGGAAAAUUUUCAUAUAAAUAUCUAUUUUUUUGACUUUUGCUUAUUGACUUUGAAAGAUCUAUAUUUUGCUCCUUUAAAAUUUUAAAAUUAUUUUCAGAGAAUACGGUAUUAAUGGAGAGGGUAAAGUGAUAGAAUUAUCUUUAUUUCUCCUAUAAAAAAAUAUAUAUAUAUUUUUAGCAUUUUGAAGGGUAUUUUUGGUAUAAAUUAUAAGGAAUUGAUAAAAUAGUGAGACGGAAGAGAGACUAAAUGCAAUAAUUUAAAAUAUUGAGAAGAUAAAAUAUAAAUUUUUUAAAUUAUUGAAAAAAUUNUGUGUUCUCCUCCAUCUGUAAAUGAUGUAUAAUCAACUAGACAUUUAUAGAUGAAAAUUUGCUGCGUGGACGAGCCAUGCUGGAAAGAUGACAGGGUCGAUGUAGGUGAUUUGUUGGUUAUAUAGGUGAGGAUUUGUUGGUAAUAUAUGUGAAUCUAGAGGUGUCACAAGUAGCUUGUCUUUUACAUAUUUCCUUACCGUGAAGUAUCCCUGAAUAGUGCAUGUUGAGAACAAGAAUUUUGAGAAAUAUAACAUCAAAGUAGAUCUAUUGGUGGUUGUUUUCGUUGCCAAAGCAAUGCAUAAUCCAUCCAUAGUGCAUGUAUCAACAAUGGUAGCAACUGGUCACAUGGGUUCUGAACCUCCAGGCGCAAUCUGCCCCCCCUAGCAAUUCAGAAUUUAAUUAUAACCAUUUGUUUAUCGUUCGCAGAUGCUAAAGUUAACGGGCCUUUUGUGUGUUAUUUUGCGUCAGUUUAAAAGGAGCUGCAAGAUUUUAACUUGACGAUGAUAAAAGGUUAGGGAAUAUAUAUAUAUAUAUAUAUAUAUAUAUAUAUAUAUAUAUAUAUAUAUAUACCUCUUUAAAAUUUGUAAAUAACAUCUCCUUAAUUAGAACAUAAAAGAAUCAAUUUUAAGCUGAUAGUAUACGGAUAGUCACUAUCCAAAUCUGCUCAAAUGGGCCGAUGAGUAUAUUUGUAACUUAAAUAUCCAAAUUCGGAGCGAAUCUGAAGUUAAAUGAGUAUGGUAUAUAUUUUUUUUCUAUUUAUUUCUUUUAGGGUAAGGAUAUAUAAUAUAUUAAUUAUUCAGAUCCGAUCCGGUCAACGGACACCUUUACAUAAAUGUAGUAAAAGAUUAAAAAUACUAAUACACAACAACUAUAAGAUUAAGGACUCAAUUGGAAUUUUUUUAAAAAAUUAAGAAUCUAACUGCAAUAAUGGGAAUGUGACUCAUUCAAUUGAAGCGAGUAAAAUUUGCCCUUUUUCCUCUUCUGCAUCUUGCCAUUCCCGUGUCAUUCCGUUCGGUGUUUGGUAUUUUUGUGCGGCUGUCUGCCCGCCCGCCGAAGGAGAAGAGAAAGAAGACAAACAAGGAGGGAUUCGCCGGCAGUUGCAGACUGCAGUUGAGCCGUCCGUCCGCUCCCAAAACUCCACCAACCGCAAUAACAGACUGGAAAAAAAAAAAAAAGCAACAUCUUCAACUUUUGCUGCCUCUCUUUGUCUCAUUCCCCCUUUCUCUCAAACAUUUAAUACCUCAAAGGGGUAAUCUCCUCUCUCUCUCUCUCUCUCUCUCUCUCUCUCUCUCUCUCCUUUUCUUGACCUAUCUGUCUGUCUGCUCUUCUGGAACUCCAGAAUUCCUGCUCCAGGAUUUCUGCUCUGUCAGUAUUCCAUCUUGUCUCCAUUCCACCAUCCCCUUUCUCUAAUGUUGGCUUACUUUUCCUUUUUUUUUUUCUUUUCAAAUUUGCAGUGGAGGAGGAGGAGGAGAAGGAGAAAGGGCUGUGUUCUGAAGCCAUUAAACCUCUUAGGUGGAAUGAAUUUCCUUUUUUUUUUUUUUUUUUUUCCUGCUUAAAGGAUUCUUUUCUUGAUGCUGCCUACUUUGCUAUAACUUUUUUGUUUAAUUUGAUCCACUAUUUUUGUUUGGUCUCUGAUUUAGGACAUCUACCAGUAGUUAUAUCUAUACCAAAUAUCAGAACAUUAUUUGAUUUUUCUGCAACAGUCAGGGAACAUGAAUUAUUACCUGAGAAAGGGAUUUCUGUUUCUCUGUCAAAUGUAGGACAUAGAGAACUCAGUCUUAAAGGGUGCGGAUUGACACUUUCGAAGCCUGUCGAGUCGAGCCGUGAAAUUGCAAACCUGGAAAGUUUUGUUCGAUUGCCAACCCUAGAGACCUAGAUGGGGAUUGUUGGGAUCUCAAUCAACUUCAUUGCGUAGUCAAAAGGGAUUUCCCUAAUGGAAAAAUUCUAAUUUGUGUCGGACUUGGAGAGCCGAUCCUUGAGGUUCUCAUAAGUAAGGCAGUCUCUUGUUUGGCUGUUUGUAUUGUUGACUUAAAGGGGCCAGCAUUCUGACCUGUGGUGGGAGGCCAGGUUGGAUCGAGUCAUGUUCGAAAUGGUGGGAGAUUGGGUUGGGACGAGUCAUGUUUGAAACGGUCGGAGACUGCACAGUCAAGACCCAUGAGCGUUGUCUGUACGCUUUAAAUGAAUUGGUUGCAUCUUUUUAACAGUUCGAGUUUUUGGAAUUAAUGGUUAGCGCCAAUGAUCGGACAAUUAUAAUGGUAGAUGACCUCUUGGAGAAGAGAGUUUGGUGAGUGUUUUGUGGAGGAGAGACACUUAUAAAGGACAGAUAGAAUAGGUUUUUUUAGGAUCUUUCGACAGUUGAAUACUACCAAAAUCAAUUUGUUUUCCUCGUGUAUUCUUAUAUUUUUUUAGAUUUAUCUAGCACAUAUGAUCAUGCAUCUUUGUCUCUUAAGUUUGAUUCGGUCAAUAGCAGGGGUUAAAAUACAUGAUAUUUUUUACUUACAUGAUCUCCAUAUCUUAUACUAUAAUUGCAUGUUCGUUGCUAUUUUAUCAUCAGUUCUUUAAAUGCUUUUGCUCUUUUUUUUCCUCAGCAACUGUUCUUAAUUUUCGCUAAUAGUAGAAGUUUAUGCAACAGCUCUCAUCUUCCUAAUUGGUUCUAAUUGGUUACUGUCGUUUGAACUUUUUCAACCUUUUAGUAGGAGACAAUGCCGGAUAUGCAGUUGGCUAGUCUCACGAUAAAAUCACAUGGAGCCAGAGUAGCCAGACUCCACAUGUAUGACUGGAUCAUACUUGUACUUCUUGCUAUAACAGAUGGACUAUUAAAUAUAAUAGAGCCUUUUCACCGUUUUGUCGGAAAAGACAUGAUGACCGACCUGAGAUACCCAAUGAAGAGCAAUACAGUGCCAUUUUGGGCUGUUCCGGUGUGUGCUUUCGCUCCUCUUUCAUGUAAUCUACUAAUGAGACAAGAAGUUUCUUUUUCAGUUUAUGCUUGUUUUGUGUACUUUGACUUCAAUAUAUUUGUGUUUCUGCAGAUCAUUGGAAUUGUGUUGCCCAUUGUUAUUAUUGUUGCAAUUUACUUCAAGAAGAGGAAUGUAUAUGAUUUGCAUCACGCUAUACUCGGUAUUGUGCAUAUGCUUCUUCUUUUUAUGGGCGUUUUUUCUUUUUUAAAUUUUUGAAAGAUGUGUGUUAGUUGAUGAUUAACUCUUAUAUGUGAACCAGGUCUUCUGUUUUCUGUUCUUAUAACUGCGGUCAUAACAGACGCAAUCAAGGAUGGUGUUGGUCGUCCACGACCAGAUUUCUUUUGGCGAUGUUUCCCUGACGGGAAGGAUGUGAGCACUCCCUUCUGUGUACUUGGAUCAUUAUUAAUUUCCUCUAUUCAUUAAUUCUUUUCAAUGAAUUAAAAUUUGGCGAUUUACGUUCAGGAGUAUGACAAUGUCACUACCAGUGUUAUAUGUCAUGGGGAGAAGAGUGUUAUCAGGGAAGGUCACAAGAGUUUUCCCAGUGGACAUUCUUCAUGUACGCAACAAAAUACCCAUCCGCUUAGUUUCAAAUUUGACCUGUUAAUUUUCAUGCAUUUUUGUUCCUACAAAUUGUUAGUAUAAUGUGCGCUACCACACUUGUUCCUAAAUAUGCUUGCGUUGUAUCAAAUCAUUCAUUUUUUCUGUGUACUUAUAGCAUCUUGCGGUUUGAAGAUUCUCUAAAAGCUAAAUGUGGAUUUAUUAAGUACUAGUUGCUAUGUAUUUCAGGCUCUACUACAUUGGCAGCAUUAUUUAUGUGCUAAAUAUAUCCAAGAUUCUAGCAUACGCCUAAAAUCCCUGCUUAUCUGUCAACCCACGCAAAAUGCAUCUAUUUUGGGGAGCAAAGAAACUACCUGUUGUAAAGGCGAAGUUGAAAAGUUCUCUGGUGCGAAAACUUUUGUGCUUUGCAAUGAUGCAGAGUUGAUACAAAAGCCAACCUGGUCGAAAAUUAUCAUCUUCUUUAUUUUCUCUAUGCACAUUCAUGUUGACAGCUGAGUCUUGAGAACAUGCUAUAGGGAUGGGAUGCUUCUUGAAGCCUUUAUUAGCACCGCAUGCUAUAUUUUGUUAUAGUGACACCAUAGAUAUGUAAUUUGCUUUUCGCUUGCUGCCUGUUGCAGGGUCUUUUGCUGGUCUAGGCUUCCUUUCAUGGUACCUAGCUGGGAAAAUCAUGGCCUUUGAUCGAAAAGGGCACGUCGCAAAACUCUGUAUUGUGUUUCUACCUCUGCUUGUUGCAUCUCUUGUCGCGGUUUCUCGAGUGGACGACUACUGGCACCAUUGGCAGGAUGUAUUUACUGGAGGUCUUCUAGGUUUGUUCUUAAGAUUGAUCUUCUCGAUGUUGUCAUACUUUUAACUCUUUUUUAUUUGCUAAUUCUUUAAUGUUUGAAAAUUGGUUGUAAGCCUUUAUUUCUUUAUUGCUGCAGGGCUUGUAGUUGCUUCAUUCUGUUAUCUGCAGUUCUUCGCAUCUCCUUUUGAUGUUGACAGUACGUUAAUAACUUCAGAUACUUUCUCAUGUUUAAUUUGACUUCAAACAAACCAUUUACUUGCAUGGCGAAAUUGUGUGAUCUGAAAUAUUCUUCAGAAGCGUAAUAAGCCGAAUCUUAGUCUGCAUGCAUGUCAUAGUGUUUAUAGGAAGCGUAUGCAAAGAGUUCUAGUUUCCACAGUAUUUAAGCGUAUGCAAAGAGUUCUGUUACUGCUGUUCGAUAAUCGACAUGCUAAAUUUGCGGACAAUAACUUCAACAGUUUUCAGCUUAAUUAUACGAUUUUGAGAGUACAUAGUGAAGAUAUUCCAAUAAUGCAUGAUACUUUGUAAACAUCAGAUGGUUGGUCGAAGGUGUUAGGAGAAGCAUUAAAACAAUACAAGAUGUUACGAUAGAUACCAUUGUCUAGUUUACGUGCUAUGGGCGAACUAACAGAUCAGAAAGGAUAGAUGAUGUUGUAGAGAUGAAGAUAAAAUAUACAGGGAAAACUAACUCGAAAGCAAUGCAUCGAGUAAAAGGCUGUUCACAGCUUUUGCUCAAUUUCUGAGAAUAUACAGUAAUUCUUGUAAUAGAACUUUUCGAAGCUGUCGUAGAGAUAAUCUUUCUUCGAUCACCAUUUGUUCUUUAUGUUGACAAUGCGUGUUACAUGAGUAUUUAUUAAGCGGAUUUCUCAAUCUCGUUGCUCUUAUGAAGAGAGUGAGAAGCUUGCUAACAAAGGAAAGAUGCCGCACUCUUGCAGGUUUCUGGCCUCACGCCUAUUUUCAGCAACUUGCAGAAACUCGUAAUGACAGCGAGCUCUCCGUUAUCACAAACCCCAACAAUAGGAGGCCUUCACAGUCCGGAGUCGUUUACGAUUCACCUGAACCUCACAUCGGGAUCGCCAUGAGAGACACGAGCCCGAUUCUAGACGCCAGCGAAGCCGGCAGGAGGCAAUGACUACAUGCUGCAAAUGAAGUCUACACUUGUAAACCAACACAAGCUUCCCGGAUACGAACACCGACUUUCUGCUUCUCCGUUAUUGUACUCGAUUCGCGUGGUUUCUUGCUAUGUAAUUUUUGUUAGUUUCAUUUGUAAUAUUUUUCGUAGUAGCGGUUGGUUUGCGAUAUCUGGGCCUUCGAUAGUUAUUAGGACAACAAUUGUUGUUGUUGCUGUAGUUGGUGAGAUUGUGAAGCAGAUAAAGAUUGUGGAUAUUUGUUGUGUUCAUAGUAAAAGGUUUGGGUUCUCUUUUUGUGGUUAUGUUGAGUAUGUUGCAUCUAGUUGUGCUUUAUUUGAUUAAGAAAUAACCUGUCAUAUUGAUUUUGAGGUUUGGUUCCUGGAGAUUGACCAAGUUAAUGCCGCAUGAUUUUGAAUUCGAAGCGGAUCAGGUGGUGUUGGGUUAUGUCUGACGUUAGGAAUGUCAAUGGGUACGGAUAUUUGAGAUUUUAUCCGAAUCCGAAUUCGAACAGAGAAGGUUUACCCGAUGUUAAAUAGAUGUGAUAGGAAACUGGAGCAUUAUCUGGAACUCAGCAAAUGCAUAAACUUGACAACCUGAAAUCAGAGGUUCUGAAACUAAGAAACCAGAGUCCUUGCAACCCGAAACCCAAAGGUCAAGAAACUUGAAUGACUCGAGACCUAACUACAACCCCGAAAUUUUUUUUAAAAAAAAACUUGAGACCCAACAACAAAUUAAAAUUUGAUGGAAAAUUUUGUUCCAAUUUGAUUUGUUUCGAACUUCCUUAGUAAUCAAGGUGUUCAUGCAUCAUUUGAAAUAGAUACAAAACUUAAAAGUUGGGAGCUCAACAAAUCAUAACUUGUCGGGGAGUUUCUGUUUCGCUGCCAUGUAUUAAUUUUAGUUCCAUUCAAUGAUUCGUUACAUUUUUUUAAAAUAAUAAAAUUCAAAAAAAUUUAAAGUUUUAGAGAAAAAUGAUUAUAACAAUUCAAAUAAUAUAACUGGUGUGCACGUGAUGACAAAUUGAGACUCUUUAAUGAGGCGUCGUUGGGGAGCUAACUACUCAAAGUUUUUUCGUUUGAAUAGGACAGAUUGUGGCCAAUAGUAAUUUCUUGCUUUGCCAUCUAAAAUUAAAAUUGCGUCUAUUAAAUUGAAUUUUAAUCUUUAAAAUAGGAGCUUUUUGCUUGUAUUCUUUAUUACAAUUUAAAAUUUUUUAAAUUUAUCCUUCAAAAUUCAAAAUACUCUUCUAAAAAACAAUUUCGUUAGUAAAUCUUUAAUAAGAGCAAUGGUAUAUUCUAAUGAAUUUUAUAAUCAAUAAGAAUAUUUUGGUUAAUCACGAUAAAAUAAAUAUAUUUUAUAGAUUUGAUGGACAUAUUGGAUAUCAUCUCUUUGAAAACAAGUAAAAAUGUAUAUAACUUAUAUGAACUAUGGAUCAUUUUGAUUUGGCUAUUUAAUUUUUCAAAAUAUUGAUUUUAUUAUCUAAUCUUUCAAUUUAUUUGAUUUCAGUUAGUCAACUGUAUUUUAACUUUGAGAUUUGAAUGUGUCGUUUAUCUUUGUAGGUUUAGUUAAUAUAUCUUAUAUAAUUCUUGUAAUUAUAAAUUUAUUAAAAUAAAUAAUUAGCUUAAAUUUUAAAAUCAAAGUGCUGUUUAGUGACUUAAAUCGAAUAAGUUGAAAGAUUAGAUAGUAAAAUUAAAAUUUCGAAAAGACAUCACAAGAUUUGGAAUAAUUCUAUGUAAGAGAUAUAAUAAGACUUAACCUCUUAACUCAGUUUAUAAUAUUUUGAAUGAUGACUAAGCCUAAAAGAUUAAAAAAAAAUUAAGCAACAUAGUUUAGAUAAAUUUUGCGCUUUUUCAUAUUAAAUCAAGAAUCGGAUGCAACUGUAUGCAAUCAUAGUGCAUUUGCCACUCCAACUGUUUUUUCAGCCUUUGUUUGAUUCGGACAUAAGUAAAACUUAUUUAUUCUAGAAAUAGAUACAAAUUCAGAUAUAAGUAAGAAUUAGACCAAUUUUACGUUUGGAUGAAAAUUGAAUUGUUCGUGGGAAUAAGAAAAAAAACAUAAGAAGAAUAAUGGGUAGUUAUAAAUAGAAAAUAAUAAUAUUAACCCUCUACUUAUAUUCGAAUUUGAAUUUCUAAAUUUUAUAUUUAUAUUUUAAAAUUCAAAAAUUUAACUUUUAAAUUUUAAAUUCCGAAAUCAAAUUUAAAAUUUGAAAUCUCAAAUUUUAAUUUUCAAGUUUUAAAUUUAAGAUCAAAUUUAAAUUUGAAAAAUAUAAAAUAUCAAAUUUAAAAUUACAAACUUUAAUUUUAAAAUUAUAAAUUAUAAAUUUUAAAUAUUUAAAAAUUAAUUUUUAUUUUUUAAAUUUUAAAUUUUAAAAAUAAAAAUUGGUCCCCUUGUAUUUUGUGUUUGGGGAAAGGGGUAGGGAUGCAAAUGGAUUUGGAUUGGUGAAGCGCCCGCCCCGAUCAUCUCGAAUACGGUGUUAAGUGAGAAAAAAAAAUAUAAAAAAACUAUAACUCUUUUCAAAUCCGCCAAGUAAAUAAAGCGAAAGGCAAGAAAUUUUUUUUUGUCUUCAAUCUUUCAAUCUAUUCUGAUCUAUUAAAAAUCUGUCAAAAAUUUGCUUUUAUUUUGAUUCUCUGUAAAUUGAGGUAAUAAGUGGAAGCAAAAAAUAAAAUAAAAAAUAACUCGCCCGAAUCCGUCCUAUCCUCAUAAAAAAUGGUGCGCGAGUUGGAAAACCUUUCCGCCUCGGGAUCCGCUCAAGUUUGCACCCCUUAUCCCCACCCUCGGGGUCUGAAGGAAUUCCCCCAACUUCUGGCUGCAGCAAGGAAUGGCUUCUGCAGUAGCAGUGGCAGUAACAGCAGCAGCUUCUCCGCUCCCCACCCCUCCCAACCCCCACUCCAAACCCACCACAAUUACCUCCUCUUCCCACUCCUUGCGACCUCCUCCUCCUUCUCCUCUCAAUCGACCCAAGAAGCAGAAGCAGCAGCAGAAGCAGAAGCCCUCAAUUGCGGAGAUCGAGAGGGCCAUCGGCGUCGGCAGUGACCCGACCUCAUCUUCUUCAUUGUCGUCAUCAUCUUCGUCGUCGUCGUCGUCCUUUAUGGAGUUCUUGGCGUCGACGCCGAUCGGGCAGGCCGAGAGCCCCGCCGAGCGGAAGCUCCGCGAGGCCGCCGAGUGGCUCGUCGACCGCACCGAGGCGCACGCUAGCAAUGGUAUGUAACUUCUUCUUCUUCUUCCUUUUUAACUUUUUAAUAUGGAUGAAGAAUCAUGGAUUUAAGGGAAAGGGAAAGAUUCUAUUUGUAAAGGCGAAUUUUAGGUUAAAUAGACUUUCCAGUGAACUGGAGUUCAAGUAGAAAAUUACUUUUCUUCUUCUGCUGUUUGUUUGUAUAGCCGUAGAACUGAAGUUUUUUCAGUUUCUUGUUUGUAUGGUAAAUGGAUUAAUAUAUUAAUAUUUUUUUCUCUUACUGUUUUUUUUUUUUUCGUAAUUGACUUCGGCCUGGGCAGGCUGAAGUCAAUUACGCUAUUUGUGGAGUUUGAGUUUCGACCGAAAGGUGAAGUUACGGCGAAUCGAACAAUGAAAAAUGAUCAUUUACGACCCAAAAUUACUUCGCUCGUCUCUACUUUCGGUAAAACAAGCACACCCUUAGUGUGUUUUCACUUUGCAAUUUCACGCAACAGCAGAGAUGCUAAUCAAAUAUUUCCAACUCGCUCACCGUUGAAAACUGGAUAUAGUAGGUCGGGGGCAACGUAAUAAAGGCGUUAACCCGAUAUUUGGCCGUCCAAUAUGAUCUGUUAGGAUUCUGCUUGGGAAGAAAUGAACUUUUCGAUUAUUUGUCGCGAUUCUGUUUUCGAAUUGCAUUCGCGCUUAUCAGGAAAGUCGGAUUAAGAUAGAUUCGAACUACUAAGGCUAUAAAUAUUGUGCAGAAAAACAUAGAAAGGACCUUGUUUUCUUCAACAUUCAGCCGAGAAUAGGGUAGCAGUAGUUUUCUAAUUUCAGUCGAACGUAGCAUUAGCAGUAGUCGAAGCCUUAGUUUUGGCACCUUCCUGUUAUUUUGGCUGUAGACUUCACCCUAAGACUUUGGCUGAAUUUUCGGGUCUCUGUAGUUUCUUCCCUUCGAGCUGAACGUCAACUGAGCCCAUCUGACCAAGUUCAGCCUGAGACAAGCGACCGAAUGUAACGUGCUUUAUUGAGAGGUCAACUCGCAACGGAGAAUCCAAACCGAAUUGCUUGUGGCUCCACCCAUUGAAAUUUUCUUUUGAACAAUAACGAGCCUUCUUUGUGUUCUUCUUGGCAAACAAAAAGGAUAUAAAAUAAAUAAUUCUCUUAACCAUUUCGCUGCUAAAACAAUUGUGUCUAAACCAAUCACUUCAGAUUCCAUUGCAUUCAUAGCUAUUAAGAUUUGUUUAGUGGAUAUCCAAGACUCAGCACUCCUCCUAGGAAAAAGACAAAGUUGGUUUUGCAAAUGUUAAUAGUGACUUCAGGUGUGACAUCCCAAAACGUGGGAAAGUGCGACGGGCUUAUAUGUGAGGAGUAUACUGACUGAUAACUCGGCUUAAGCAUUCUAUGCCGGUGGUUUAGGACCCAACAGGUUAUUAAUGCUAGCAGGCCGGGUUGUUACAAUUGGUAUCAGAGUCAAAUAGCUAGCUGGAAGUGUGAGAUGGAUCUCACAUUGCCUAGUAAAUAUUGAGCUAUAUGUGUGAUUGGGUCGGGCUUACGAGAACGUUAGAGCCUAAAGAGGGGCCACAUCGUAUAGUAUGGGAGAGUGUGAAGGGUUUUUAUGUGACAGGUAUACUAGAAUUAAUAGCUAAGCUUAAGCAUUUUGGCUGGUGAUUUAGGUCCCAACAAGUUAUUUGUGCAAGCGGUCCGAGUCGUUACAUCAGGAGAGUCAUAUAUGAUUACCAAUAGAUAACUAGACCCAGUCGGCUAAAAGUGAAAUGCAUGAAUAAUUGAUAUUUCUGUUCAAAGCUAUGAGCACUUGGUCGAUUACUUUUCCAAUGCUUUCAUCACAAUCUUGAGCCUGCUCAUCUGCAGGAACACCAGAAGUUCCUUGACAGUCAUACAUCUUAUAUGUGGGUUAUGAAACUCAAAUCUGGCGGGAAAAUUGAAACCAAUUCGUGGAUAGCAUAAAAUAACUUUUCCAUUUGAAAUGUUUAGCUCUUGCCACUCUUUCACUUUUUUGGGCUACAAAUGCACUUUGACCGUCAUAACAUUCAACUGAUACUUCACUCUUAAAAGAUAUAAAUUUAGUCUUAUCAACAUACCGUUGUCGGUCAUCAUGUGAAAAUACCGGUUAAAAAGGAUAAGUGCAAGAAAGAGAAAGUUGAAAUUUUAACAAUUUUUUGGGUAUUUUUUGAGAAUUUUUCUGAUAUAGCUAGAAAAAGCUUAAUUAGCGUAGGAUACUAAGUAGAAAUGGUGCGUACGCAAAUAAAUUAUCAAACAGUUACUAUGCAAAUAGUGAUUUGUAGGAAAGAAAGAUUUUUACAGGAGAGACCGUAUAUCGGCUACUCUGAAGAAGGGUGGCAAAAUACUCGUAAGAUUUUUCUGGAUUUUCUAGUAUUUUUUCUGUCUGGAAAUGUUGCUGUCGAAAAUUAGCGAAGUUACUAUGCACGAUAACUAUGCAUUCAGUGGCUUCACGUGGGAUUUUUUUUUUUAUUUUUUUAUUUUAUUUUAUUUUUUUUAACNUUUUUUUUUUUUUUUUAGCAGUGUCCAAUACAAGGACUAAAAGAAAAGAAGCAGCUAAAGUUGCAGAACUGAAAGAAAUAUUUACAAAAAUAUACAAAAUAUCAGAACCAGGUGGCUAAGCAUUUUCCCCUAAAUUGUCACAUUUGGGAGAAGAUGCUUCUAGUAUCGUAGGAUUUCCUUGUUUUUCUUCAGUGUUUCCUAUACUAGGGUGUGGUAAUGGUUCUGAAGAGGAUUCAAUUUUUCGGAAAGGUUUGGCAAUUGGCUGUGGAUAUCUUUUGAGGGAAGGCCUUUGUGGUGGAAAAGGUGCUGAGGAUAAAAAAGGUUUUACUGAGAUAGAGGGAUGGACUACUGGGAUUAGUGGGUUUUGAAAUGGAGUAUUUUGAAAUGGAGUAUUUAUGUCGGUCAUAGGAGGAAAGACCAAACUCGGUGUAGUUGUCAUUAUAGGAUGAUACUUUGGAGGAAGAUAAGAGGAAGAUUGAGGUAGAGAUACAAUACCUUGUUGUGAGGGAUGCUUGAGGUCUUUGACCUGCUGUUCCAGGAUAGCAAUUCUUUGGAUGUUUUUCUGAUCCUUUGUUCUCAAGUCAUCACAAAUAGUGUUCAGUUUUUGAAGCUGGGUUGCCAUUGUUGAGCAGUUUUCACAUAAACUAUUUUUCUCAGGAUUGUGGGUGGAUGUAGAGGCUUGAAAUGUGGAAAGGAACUUAUAUUGGGAGAGAAUAAAGAGGUUUGGACCAAAGUAGGAGAGAGCAGUGUCCAAGGGUUCAGAUAUAGAAAGAUAACUCUUGUAGAGAGGAAAAGAAAGCGCAUUUUCCUUUUUUUUUUUUUUUAAGAGUCCCAAUUUGGAUAGUUCCAAUUUGGAUUUAUAACAAAAGGAAAAUAUGGCUGCAAGUUAUAACAUAGGUGGUAACAUAAUAUUCGAGUAAGUUUAUAUUGAUAAUCUAAACUAUAGUCUUGAAGGUUAAGGUUGUCCAAAAUAUAUUGUUGACAAAUUUCUUCCCAGUCAUCAUUCUCUGUAAUUCCUUCAAGUAGAUAGCCAAAUAGUACUCUAAUGUCUCUAAUAAUACUAUUUUGAUCUAGUAAGUCAUAAUAUUGAAAGUUUAGCUCGUCUCGGAAAUAUUGCUGGUAAUAAUGUUCCCAAUCUUGUUCAGGGAGGUGACAUAUGCCAGAAAACCAAAGUUGCAAAUCAAACUUGUUUUGGAGUCUGUCUAUCCAUAAUUGUUUUUGCUGUGAGUUUUCUAGCCUUUUAUAAAGAGUCUGUCUGUUGUAUUCUUUGCAUGCUGCUGCUAAGGCUUUUUCUUCACCUAAAUGCUUAAAGCUAGAAAGGAUAAUGUGAAAAGGCAUAACAGCAAAUGGGUCUUCAAAUAACCUGUGUAUGUCUUGGAUUAUAUCAUCAAGAGUUUCUUCAGAAGGUUUAAGGAAAACAUCAGUGCAAAAAGGGCAAUAAUGCGGAUCCAUGUCUUUGUCUUUGUUUGAACCUGAAAUGUCUGGAUCAAGAUACAUUAUAUUAAUAUUAUUAUGUCUUUCAUAGAAUAGUCUCUUUUUAAAGAAAUAGUAGCCAGAUAUCAGAUAAAAUAUCAUCUAAAGGUUCCGUAAAUAGUCGCCAAAUGUCUAUGAGGAUGUUGUCUUGAAAACAUAAAUCACAGAGGAUUUGGCUAAAUUCAGAAAUUUUAAAAUCUUCAUUAAAAUCUUCAUUUUCCUCUGGAAUAGUUUCUAAAAGAUAAAACAUUCUUUGAGUCUGGAUAUGGGUCAUGUCUCUUUCGUCAUUGUCUUCUGUUUCCAAUGUGUCUUCUUCUAGUGGGUCGAACCACCAUAUGUCUAUUUCAUCUUGAGCUUCUAUGGUAUUAUAAAAGUCUGCAUAAGUGUCUUCAGGAGCCUGGAGACACAUUUUUGUAAGACCUUGUUCUUCUGAAAAAUAUAAAGUCAAAGGGGUUUAUUAGUAGGAGAACAGGGAGGCUGAUUUUUAGAUGUACUAGAAGUGUUAGGCGAUGUACUAGGAGUGUUAGGUGAUUUGGGUUCUGGUGAAGUUAAGUAUCGUGGAAUUUGUCUAUGGAAAGUCCAUGGUUGGACGACUUUCUUUGGAAGAGUAUCCUUUGAGUGAUCUUGCAAUUGGAGUGUAGAAAAAUGUUUUGUUACUUCUUGGACAAUAGGAGUUGUGUCUAUGGUAGGAACAAUGCUUUCAGUUUGUCUUUGUAAUACCAAUUUUUCUAAUGUAUGUAUUCUGUUAUGUAAUCCUAAUAAUAGUUGGAUAAUGGUAUUAUUUUGUUUAAUUAUAACUUGUUCAGAAAUGGCUUGUGGGAGAUGAGAUGAAAAGCCUAUAGAAGUUUUGUCAGGACUAUAAGAUUGUACUUUUGAUAAAGUCUUAUGUAAAAUUUCAGCUUCAAGGUGCUCAGGAUUGGUCAUCCUAGAGAAAUUUGUUUAAUUUCUGCUAACCUUUGAAGACUGGAAUGUAGAUCUUGUUCAAUUUUGAGUAGCUUUUGUUCUAUUCUUUGGGGUCUUGCUUCUAGCUGGUUUAGUCUAUAAUCAAUAUUAGAAAGUUUUUGUUCUAUUAAGGUGUUCUGGUUUUUAAUAUAAUCUAGGUUUCUUGAAAUUUUGUCAAGGAGUUCUGUCUGUGUCCUAAUUGUCUGAUCGAGUCUGAGGACCAGUUGUUGAAGAGUCCUUAAUGGAUCUAUUUUGAAUAUUUUUAUAAAAACCAAAGGUAAAAGUAUGAAAUUCUCCUGUGAGAUGAUAAAUAAUAAAAGGGUAAGGUAGAUUUAGAUUUGACAAAGUCUUAUCAUAUAGUGUUAGAAAUGCAAAUAAUAAAAGAGCUUUUUGUCUCUUUGUUUUUCUUUUGAUUCGAGCCGUGAUUGUAAAUUUAAAGAGAACAAGUAUGGUUUGGAGAAGAAUUUAUAAGUAAUUUAUUAAGUAAGUCUAUUUGAGAUUUAGUAUUCUUUUCAAUAACUACUAAAAUUUGUUGUAUGCUAAAAAGGACGAUUAAAAUGCUUAGAAGGAAAAGGGAUGGUACUAGCAUCAAAACCUUCGUGGAGGUGGAGGCGGUCGUAUGGAGAGGAUUUCUAAAAGAUGGGGGUAAUGUAUAAGUUCUUUGUCUAGAGUGUUUAUAAUACAAAAGAUUAGUUCCAGAAAUCUAUGCGUCUCUAUGUAAAAAGUUUUUAAAACACGAAAGUGUACUAAAGUGCCAAUAGGAUGAUUAGCAUAAACAGGAUUGUUAAUAGUAUUAAAGGUGAAAGCGUCUAUGUCAAAGGCGUCUUCGACUGUAAUUUCCAAAAAUCUUCUUCUUCCAAUAUGAACGAUAUUGUAUCUCCAGUUAAAUUGUCUUGGGCUUGUAGUAUUUUCACUAUAGUCUGAACUGUCUUCGUCACUAUUGUUAUUGUCUUCUGAUUGUCUUAAAUUUUCGUUGUCGUUGUCGUUAUUAUCGGCUUCGUAUUCCUCGUAGUCUGGCAAUAUUUCGUCUUUGUCUUGAUUAGCCAGUGUGUUAAUUAUUGUCUAAAGAUUUGAAAUACAAGAAAAGGGUCUAUUUCCCAAAGCUGAUAUAUAAGGUGUAUAAUGCUAAUUAAAAUAUGGAGUGGAACUCCUAAAGAUAAAGAAUUUAUAAUAAAAGUUUGUACCAAUCGUGCAUAAUUUCUACAAGCAUACUCAAAGAGUUUAGGCCAAACUUUCUACAAGCAUACUUAUAACUUGUAAGGUGUACGCACCAUUUCUUUCCUGUUAGGCCAAACUUGUACCGAGCUAUCAAAGUCUUUUGUAAGUUUGUUUAUAAUAAAUGCACGGUGAUUUUACAACUAAAUUUCAUGAUGGUCUAACAUUAAUAAGCUUGGUUCUUUUGGUUUCGGUUGCUAAUGAUUGUUUUACAGUAUGAAGAAUGUUCCGUAACAUCAAUUAUUCAACCUCUUUUAGUAUUCACUGCCAACUAUAAGUCUGAGCAUAACUAAAAACAAAAAGAAAAAAAAAGAAUACCUAUGAUUGACAACAUUGUCCAGUUCAUUUGAAAUGCCAUAUUUUAGUUCUGUAUUCUGUAUAACAUAUGCUUGUCGUUAGUAGUUUUUUUGUCUUCUGUUUUUUUUUUUCCUCAUGUUCUCCCACUAUACUAUAGAGAAUCUUUCUAUAUAAUUUAGCGACAUUAAAGAGCCCAACUGUACAUAUGACAAUUAGUCCAUCUAUCAUCUUCAGCACUGUUUUGAAAUGCAUGUCUUCUUCAUGUUAAUUUAAAAUUUCUUCCUACAAAUAUGUUGGCCAAUCCUUAAGUUUUACGAUGAAGUGCAUCUUUUGUUUUUUUUCACUUUUUGGCAUACAUCGCCUAUUGAUCCGUGAUCUCCUUUAGAAGACGUUCGGAUAUAAAAUAUUAGAGGAAGGAUGAGAGAAGAGACAUUGGCCAAAAUUAAACAUUUCCUUUUAAUUUUAUUAACUCUUCUUAACAAAAAAAUUCGAGGGUCCUACUUAUAUAAUUCCAAAAUCCUACUGCGUCUGGGAUGGAAUAGCAUCCAAACUCCUACUCCGAAUAAGAGCAAUCCAUACUUUCUUUUAUGGAAAGUUAAGUCCAACAAUAUCGUACCUGGAAAGAGCACAUCAAGAAUAUCAAAUUUGACUAUCAGGUGAAAUCCUAGUUCUCUACGGAUAAAAAGACAUUCACGGUCAGGUCAAAUUUUGACCGCAAUUUUGGGGACCUAAACUACCUCACAACACCCUGAAACACGUACGGAACUUGUAGUAUUGUGUACUAAGUUCCGUUGCCGGAGCCUGACUAGUUAUUCUCGAUCUGCACAUGUAGAAUAAAAAAUUGUCUUGAUCGGAGCCCGUAUGUGGAAAAUAUGCCUUUCGAACAAUGUUGAUGUCCUGACCCAAAUCAAACUUACCACCUAGAUCCUCCUGGAUCACCCAUUGUAGUUGUUCUUGGCACAACUUAUUGUCCUUUUUUUUUUUCUUUCUAUUGAAAAAAAACUUAUUGUUCUUUUUUCAUGAUAUAUAUAUAUAUAUAUAUAUAUGUAUUGCAGAUCAACAUAGUCACUUUAGUACUUGACAAAUAUACGAGCAAUUUGGCGCUUUGCUUAAAAGAAAUUUAAAUUUUAGCAGCACUUUGCAAGAAGUAUUUCUGACUAAUUGUUCAAGCUUAUAACAGAAAUUGUUUUCCUUACUCCGAAUCAGCUAGCUUCUUCACUUGCCUGUUUCAUUACAGCAUGUUACAGUUCAAGGUCACAGAGAACGCUGCAAUUGGUCGAUACAAUUUAAUGUAGUUUUCAUUUGAAAAAAUCGAUCAUAACCGAAUUCCUUAAGCUUCUAAGACUAGCAGGCACAGUUGUCUUAGUUUACAUUUCUACUCUUAAAGCUCAUUUAAGGGGAGGGUAACAUUUGCUUUACAGUGUAAAUGAUACGCAGAAUGUUCCAUAAUAUCAAUGCUGCGACCUUUCAAACUCUCAAUCUGACAACCAUAGAGUCUCAACCUAUGAAGAACAAGACUCUUUGUUAUUGACAUCAUUGUCUGGUUCAUCUGACUCGCCAGAUUGAGGUCUAGAUUGCCUAUAACUUGUAUGUUAUUAUCUUUUGUCUUCCUUAGGUUCUUUUUUGUGUGUACUGUAGACACUUCAUUGAUAUUUUAGUAAAAGUAUAGAGUCCAAUUGUACAUAUGAUCAUGUAGCGCAUCUAUCCUCUUCACUCUGUUUACUCCAGAUCAGCAAAUGUACAAUCGAUCUGGUGCUCUGCUUAGAAUUGAAAUCAAUUUAAAUUUUGAUAGCACUUGACAAGGAGAUUAUUUUUUUUUCAAUUUAUGUUUGCAAGUUUAAGCUGUAAAAGCGAAAGUUUGUUUUCCUCAUGCAUCACCCAGCUUGCUGUUACUGUUUCAGUACUAUGUUACAGUUCAAGGUCAUGUUGAACAAAGUUAACAUUUUGAGAAUCAGAAUAAGCCUUAAAAACAAGUCACCACCCUCAAUAAUCCCUCCAAAAAGUUGAGAAAAACGGUGAGUUAAAAAAAGAAGGAUAAGAAGAGCUAAUAUCAACUUUAUUUGCCUUUCAACAAUGCCCAUGUGAGUAGGCUUAAGCUUUUUUUUUACCUUACUUAUGGUUCAGUGAUGUUUAAAUCGAACAAAACUUAGUACUUUAUCUCAAUCGAUUACUAGUUUUCGUGUGUAUUUAUUCAAGGAUUCACAUCUUCUUGGUUAUUAGUUACUGAGAUACUAAAUACAAGUUAUUUUAAGUUAUUACUUUUUCCCUAAAUUCUUUGUACAGGGCAGCGAAUUCUCAUGAUGGUUUGUCUGAAGAUCUUACCUGUGUGGAUCCUGCUCCUCUUAGUUGCAUCUGGGGUUGUAAGGCUCCCAUUCCACGUCCCAUUUGUCGAUGACCUGCUCUCUUGAACCAUCAUCAUUAAGAGUUAAUUUUUCCUUUUCAUGCUGUUUUUUGAAUAAUUGUAACUUGUACAUACUACAAAGUCAUCUGGGAAUUAAAGUAGAUGUUCUCGGAACUGCGAAAUUUACUUCUUUCACACUUAUGUAUUACAAAUGGCUGUGAGGAGGAAGUUUUCCACAAUAUUUUGGUGGCCAUUUUAGAUUUUUUUUUUUUUUCUUUUGAAUGUGCCUCUCUUUAGUUUGGGGUUUCCGGGCUACUGGACCUACAAAAUUGUUUUGAUUAUGAAAAUGUGAAACAACUGUUAUACUUUAAAAGCUUAAGCUGUUAGAAAACGGUGUUUAUAUAUUGGGCUCAAGAUUUUUUUGCAAGGCCCAUGAUGUGGACUCGAAUUAAAUGGAAGAAAAUUAAUGCUAGGAGUCUGGCGUGACUUGAACUCAAAACCUCUUGCUCUGAUAUCAUGUGAAACAACUAUUAUACUCUAAAAGCUUAAGAUGUUAGAGAAAUGUGUUUAUACACUUUUAUAUUUAACAGAAAAAUAGGCAUCCAUAACUUUUAUUUGUAAAAGUAGACCUAUAAAAGUGGCGAAUAAUUUACCGCUUUUUAAAGACGGUAAAUUAUUCAUUAUUUUUAACUAACUUAUAUAUUUUUUGCAUCUAAACUCUAGAAAAUGUAUAGUAUUAAACAUUAAAAAUAAUUUUAAUGUUUUGAAAAAAGCGGUGAAGGAUUUAUCGCAUUUAGAAAGCGAAAAUUUAUUUACUACAUAUGCCUAGUUUUGCACAUAAAUUUUUUGGACAACUAUUUAUAAAAUUAUAAUAUUUUUUAAGUCUAUUAAUAAAAAAAAUUCCUUUAGUUCUCCAUACUUCUAGAGAUAGAAUUUUCAUACUUUUUUCUUGUUCAAAUAUUCAAAUUGUCGAGGGUGUUUUCUUACUAGAAAUUAUAUAUGCUUUAAGAAAGGUAAAAAUGUAUAAAAUUAAUCUCAAUUAUUAUUUAUUUUGAUCCGACUACCUAAUCAUUAAAAAUUUUAAUUUUUGCUAUCUAACCUCUUAAUUUAGUUGAUUUGAAUCAGUUCAUGACUUUUAGCUUUAAAAUUCGAAUGCAUCAUUUAUCUUUAUGAGUUUAAUUAAUAUAAUUUAUAUACUUCAUGUAACUAGAAAUUUAUUAAAGUAAGGAAUAAGCUUAAAUUUUGUAUAAGAAGAGUCAUUAAAUGAUUUAAAUUAAACAAAUAGAAUGGCAUAUCUCUUUAUCUUCUUAAUUAUUCUUUUAAUAUUUUUUAUUCAUGAUCUCGUAAUAAUAUAAAGACGGUUGAAAUCGUCUCUACAAAUUUUAACCUAUAGAGCUGAUUUGAACUGCCUCUAAAAACAUUAAUCUAUAGAGAUGGUUUGAACCUUAUCUACAAAUAUUAUUAUGCUAAAACAAAUAGGUAUUGGUGGUUUCAACCGCCUCUACCUUAAAAAUAUAGUAAAAAAUAUAUUAAUAUUUAUUUUGAUAUGCAUUUAUGAGCAGAAAUUUAUAAAUUUAUUGACAAUCAUAUUAUCUUAAAUAUUAACACAAAUUAAAUAUUUUAUUUCUCACCAAAAAAAUAAAGCAACAAAGAUAAUUUAGCAUUUAAUCAAAAAGAUAUACUAACAACACAAGAAGUAAAACAAUUUUCAACAAAAAGCAAACCAAUUUUUUAACAUGUAAUCCAAAACACAAUCUCAUUCAGCAUCUAUCCAACUGUAGCAACACAUUAAAUAAAAGAACGUUUAAAUAAUUUUAAAAAUAGCCAAUAGUUGAAUUUUCAAUAGUUUAUAAAAAUUUGAACAGUACAGUGAUUUCCUUCACUUGUAGACUCAUGACUUCCAUUUGAUGAUUGAUGGUUUGAAGAAAAUGCAUCAAUUAGAUUAAUAUUACCACCUACAAAAUUAUUAAUCAUACUAAAAUACAAAACUAUUCAAAUAUUUAUUAGUAAUAACUUGCUAUCAAAUUAGUAUACUUGAGAAUUGAGAAAUCUAUUUGAUAGUUGUUCUUUUAGGCUAUUCAUUGCCUCUUGCAUCCCUCUAAUGGUAGAAACUUCUGCAUUAAGUUCAUUCAUUUUAUUUUUCAUAUAUUCUAAUUCCCCCUUAAGCCUUUCUACCUUUUCUGAUUGGCCCCUACUUGGUUAGUCAUUGUAGGGAAGUUUAUAUGUUUCACACCAUAAUAUGAUCUUAGCACACGUUCCAAGCAUAAGCCUUUCACAUGUCCAUUAUGCUCAGGACCCAUAGCAUCAAGAAAAGCUUUAUCUAUUAGUUUGUUUGUAUCAGUUCAGAGCCUUGAUAAAGUUUAAUAAAUUUUUGGUGCGUUAUAUUCUAUUAACCAUUUGAGAAAAAAAAAACUAAUAUUGUACACAUUUGCUCCUCCGACUUGACUACUGCUCCGGCGAUGAAACUUUUUGAAAUAGAAUUUGGGCCGUUUUGGAGCGCAAAAUAGACUGGUAGGCUAAGGAAAAUCAACAAGUCUAACGGUUCAAAUUGGCCGAUGUUCGUCCUCCGUCUCGCUUCGAGCACCAGAUCGGUCGCCGCGCAGUAUCGUCGCCCCUACUGUGAUUUUUCGUACGGAACAAAAAACAUAAUUUGUUCGUCUUCCUUUGCUUUCUUACGAUGGUUGCACUCUGGUGAAAGGCUAACAACUCCACGUUGCCGCCCUUGUGAAACUUUUUCUCCAUGACAAUGAUCUUCCACUCAGUGCCGCCCUUGAGCACUGCCGCAAGUGUCUCAUCCCACUAGGUGAGCAUCACGCCGAUCUCGCGCGCGGUCCCCUACAAUUAGCUGCUCCUCUAUCUUCCCGUGCUUCUGCCUGACCUCUAUCUGCUUCCUCUUGCGAUCACCGCCUUCGUCAAUGCCGGAGCUUCUUUUAUUGUACUUCUUGCCCUUCUUGGUCAUGAGAUCAAGGAGAUUGGCGUCUUGCCAUCAUCGAGGAGAAGAAGGGGAGGAGGCGUUCACGAACAUCGGCAAUCGGGAUGAGAAAGCGAUUAUGCUGCGUUUCAACGUCAGAAUAUUGUAGAAUUUUCUUGGUCACCAGUUGGAAAGUCCUGUGAACUUCUUGAUUAAUUACUAGAGCUUAUGCAUCAACUAUCAUACUAUUAUACAUGUAUAUGUAUAGUUAUGGAUUGAAUGCAACGUUGACUUAUCUAUAAACUCUUAUGACAGUCCGUUUUCUUUUGUCCACGUGGCAAGGUUAGCGUAACUUAAUUUUUUGUGGGGCCUCCCUGUCAUCUUAAACUAUUUUACUUAAUUAUUGAUUAGUGGGUGGGGCCUACCAGACAAAUUUUUUUUUUCUUACUCUGCUUCCCAUUUACUUUCAUUAGUCAGUGGAAGGAGUAAUUGAUAUCUGCAACUGCCAAAAUGUAGUCCAAGUCCAAAUCCAAGAGGACGUUUCUCGUAUUGUAGCAUUUAGAAUUAAUUACUUAUAUAUCCCUAUAAACUAAUAAAAUUAAAUAUUAACUCUUAGAAAAAUUUAGCUAUCAAAUAUGUUUCUCCAAAGUUGCAUAGGUUUGAAAAUAUUUUCUUUUCACUAGUUGAUCGGUUAAAAUUGAUAUUUUUAUCUACAAAGUAAUUCUUUUAUCCUUUAAUUUUUUUUAACUUCUGUUAAUAUUAUUUAUUAUUUUUAAUAUUUUUAUUCUGUAUUUCAUGUCAUUAUUUAUAUUAUAAAAAAAUUAAUAGUAAUUUUUAAUGGGGGGAUAAUUCUAACAAUCAAAAUAUAGCAAUUAACUAAAAGUAAUUAUCAUGUAGAGCCAUGAUAAACACUACUUUAGAGUUCAAGAAUUGAUCAUAGUAUGUGUUACAUAUGUUAUAUACAUAUACUAAUGUUGAACCCGCACUUCGCUGCGGAUAAUUUUGACGCUAAAUUUAAAAUAUAAUUAUAAAAAAAAAAAGGAAAAAGAAGAGAACCAUGAAAAAAUAAAAGAGAAUGACAAUAAGAUAUGUCAUUAUCAACUAUGCAAAUAUAUAUUAGGGUGCAUGAUUCCUAAGCAUUAAGAUAUAUUGGUUAAAUAUAAUUUGGAGAACAUUUAAAAAUAAGAAAGAAUCCCAAUAGGUGAAAAGCAAUACAAUCACCCAUAAAAAUUGACGCAAACUUAAGUAAUUAGCAGACUGGGAGUAAUAAUUCUAAGUAAGCAUAAAGCAAUACAACAUUGGAGAUAGUAUGAAAACGGAGUAAUAAUUCUAAGUAAUAAACUUCAUAGGAGCAUUAAUUGCUAUUUCACUUGUCUUCGUUUGGUAAAGCUUCGUGAAACCUGCAAAUCAGUUUUAAGCAUUUAAAACAAACUAUCUUAUAUAUAGAUAUGGAAACAAACUAUCUAAUGUGAAAAUAAAUCAACAUUAAACAUUACAUAAGGCGACGUCUUUUUGCAGGUUGAAUUUCAUCAAAGUUUGUAGCAGGUUGUAGAGAGCCGUUUAACCAAAUUAUAUAAAAAUUAGAAGAUAUAUAAAUAAAUUACACAAAAUUACUGUAAUUAUAAAUAUAGAAAAGUUAUAGUUUUAUUACUUUGAUGAGAUCACCGCUCCUGGUGAUGCUUCUUCAAAUAAGUCUUCACGGAUUUGUUUGUUGGUAGCAGGCGAAUCAAGUUGUUCUUCACAUUCAACAACUAAUUUUCUAUUGCAGGGGACUUCCCUCUCGUGUCCAAAUUUUGAGUAAAAAUUUUUAACACUUUAAAAGAAGGGAGACUUGACUUAAACUUUGGUAUGUCGGGUACAACUUGAAAGAUGUGCUUUUCACCAAUAAUUAUUUUUACUAAAGGGGGAAGAGUAAAUUUAUCUUAAUCAGGCGAAGUAGCUAAAUUCUGAGUCGGACAAUGAAUCAAAUCUUGUGCAAAGUUUUCGAAGAUCGUAAAAUUACAGGAACCAGUUUUAUCUUCAACAAUAGUGUUUAAUUUGUACCUAUGUUCGGCAAAUACAUUAAACAAUAUUAAUUUUAUGUGGAACAAAAUAACUCAAUAUUCUGAAAGUAAAUAAAAGAAAUAUUAUCAAGAAAAAUAAGUAUCAUGGUAUGAGAGUUUGAUCUUUUUACUGCAAUUAGAGCAUCAAAAAGUAUCAUCAUAUGUUUUGAUUACUGUUUUGCAAUUAUAGCAAGCUUUAUAUCACCAACCAAAUGAUGUAUCGAUUUCAGCAAUUUUAGCUUUAUAGGUAAACUCCAUGCUCUAUUAAUAAAUAAAUUAAUAAUUAAUAAAUAAGAAUGAAAAAAAAUUAUAUAUUAUAUAUUAUAUAUUAAAAGUUAAUAUUUCUACAAAUAAACUUACAUGUAUACCGGAUUGAUGGAGUUGUAACAAUUCAGCAAUUGUUUGCCCAUUCAACACAUGUUUCCUUGAGGACUAAUAAGUUGGUCCUUGCUAACAUUAAUUCGUUGAAUUGAAUUAACCAAUGGUUGUAAUCUACACAUAAUUAGUUUAUAUAAGUAAAGAUAUAUAUAUAUUUGAUUGCCAAACCUAUUUAAAAAUUUGAAAACUUCUGGAAUUUUCAAGUCAAUAUAAAUCUUUGAGGCAGAACAUGUUGAUAGAUAUAUCCUUUUUACAUUGGCAUAAAAUAAUACAAUAAUCGCAAUUAGAGCACCAAAAGUAUCAUCAUAUGUUUUGAUUGCUGUUUUGCAAUUAUAGUAAGCUUUGUACCAUCAACCAAAUGAUAUAUCGAUUUUAGCAAUUUUAGCUUAACAGGUAAACUCCAUGAUCUAUUAAUAAAUUAAUUAAUAAUUAAUAAAUAAGAAUAUAAAAAAAAUAUAUUAUAUAUUAUAUAUUAAAAGUUAAUAUUUCUACAAAUAAACUUACUUGUAUACCGAAUUGAUGGAGUUGUAACAAUUCAGCAACUGUUUUUCCAUUCAUACACAUUUUUCCUUGAGGACUAAUAAGUUGGUCCUUGCUAACAUUUAAUUUGUUGAAUUGAAUUAGCCAAUGGUUGUAACCUACACAUAAUAAUUAGUUUAUAUAAGUAAAAAUAUANAUAUAUAGAGUCCGGCUAUUGUGCUUGUAAAAACACCAAGCACUUGGUGCUUGUAAAUUUUUAUCGUUAGAUCUACGCCUUCAAUCAUUUUUACCCGUUAGAUUAUACUAUUCAACCAACUAACCACUCAACCCUAGGGGGCCCACAUCAUCCUAACCGCACAUCCCUUAAUCCAAGGGCCGAAAACUUACAAGCACCAAUGACUUGGUACUUUUAAAAGCAUAGGAGCUCAAUUAUAUAUAUAUAUAUAUAUAUAAUUAGAUUUUUAUUUGAUUGCCAAAUCUAUUUAAAAAUUAGGAAACUUCUGAAAUUUUUAAGUCAAUAUAAAUCUGUGAGGCAGAACAUGUUGAUAGAUGUAUCCUUUUUACAUUGGCAUAAAAUAAUACAAUAAUUAAUAAUUUGAAAAGUUAUGCCGGAGAAAAAAAUAUAAUAUUCUUUUAGUGCAUUAAAUGCAAAUCUCUGAAAGAGCGAACAGUCAUUCUAGCAAAAACUAUUAUAAUUGGCCCAUUUAAACAACAAAUUCUAGCGAAAAUCACAGAUGUAGUCCUUCUUUCGGCAAUAGCAUAGCCCAGAAAAUCACAAAAUAAGUGUUCAGUAAAAGACCACCAAAACGUCAGCAAUAAAAACCUCCUAGCAAGGAAAUAGGUUCCAUACCACCAAUGGCCACAGAAACUUCAAAAUUUACAUUGAACCAAGGUUUUCGAGAAAACACUAACACAUAACUAAGAAACAAAAGGUAGAAGUGAGAGUUUGGAAACAUAACAGAAUAUAGAAAAUCUAAAAGCCACAAACAUAAUAGAAUACAUAGUUUUCAAAAGUACACCAAAAAGAUCAUGUGCGCAAGCAUGAUCAUUUUUUGAAAACACAACAAAAAGAUCAUGUGCACAUGCAUCAUCAACUACAAAAUAAGGAGCAGCAAAACAUGUCACUUUUUCUUUGAACUCCAAUUAACCCAGGGGAGCGGAUGUAUCAUCCGAUGCAUCAGUUUCUGUCCUUGGUGGAACAGAGAUCAGGCGGUUAAUUACACCAUGGUACUCUUCAAUGGCAUGGCAUAUCUUGAUCCGUUCAGUCACGAACUUACUUACCUGUGCAAGUGUAGCGACAUAGCAAUUCUUCAUAAAGUUAUACUCUUGAACCAAGCUGUUGUAGUGUGCAAAUAGCACAGCAUACUCUGUGGCUAGAUGAUUGUAUAGAUUUUUAUAAAAGAUACUUUCAUUGUAAUUUACAUCUUUCACUUGCAAAUCAAAUUCUUCGACCAUCCUCUUAAUAGUAAGGCGAGCAGCAUCUUGUUUAGAUGUAGCAGAUGUGGAGGAUUGUGCCCCCCAACAUCGUACCAUUUUAACUAUAGAUUCAUUCCGUGGAAUCGAAAGAUCUAUAUAUGCGAGGUAAGUCCCCUCUGCAGCAGGAGUGACAACACACUGUGGUGUCUCCAUUUGCAGCUGAUCACAAAUCUCAAGCAAUAAUGUAAGGUAAGAAAGUUGGACGGUCGACAUAGAAGAAGCUGCAAAAGAGAGGGGGAAAAAAGGGUAAGGAGAUGUAAAAGGGUAAGUCAUUAAAAGCGUACUGAUAAAAGAAUAAAAUAACAUGUGAGGAGAAAUAGAUAUCGAAAACAAAGACAUGAGUAGUAAAAAAACAAAACCAAAAAAUAAAGAUAUCAGUAGUAAAAGAAACCAAAAAUACGAAAAAUUUUUCAAAGUAAUGGCAUGAGCAAGUAAUCUUCAAGGCUCGGGUAAUAUAGGCAACUAAUUUAUGCCAUGGAAGGAGGCACAUAACAGGAUUGACCAACUUAAAAACAACAAGUGGUUGCCUAUGAUAAGACGGUCGAAAAUUCUUUACAAAAUUUUGCAUCAUUUAUUUGUUUUUGCUUGCUUAUCAUCAUUAUUUUAUGCCAUGAAAAGAGGCAUGCAAGAGAAUUGAUCAUUCGUGGAAAGAAGUACCUCGCACCAAUCAUUUUUUAAAUAGUAAGUGGUUGCCUAUGAUAAGGCCAUCCAAACUUGAUAUUCAAAAUUUUGCAAUUAUUUAUUUUCUUACCAAUCAAUUUUUAAAUAGUAAGUGGUGAACAUAUAGUAAGGGCAUCCAAAGUUGGUAUUCAAUAUUUUGCAAAUAUUUUGUUUUUUUAUCAUCAUUGUUUCACCAAUCAAUUUUUAAAUAGUAAGUGGUUGCCUAUAAUAAGGCCAUCCAAACUUUAUAUUCAAAAUUUUGCAAUUAUUUGUUUCCUUACCAAUCAAUUUUUAAAUAAUAAGUGGUGAACUUAUAGUAAGGCCAUCCAAACUUGGUAUUCAAUAUUUUAUAAUUAUUUGUUUCCUUAUCAUCAUUAUCUUAUGCCAUGAAAAGAGGCAUGCAAGAGAAUUGAUCAUUCAUGGAAAGAAGUACUUCUUACCAAUUAAUUUUAAAACAGUAAGUGGUUGCCUAUGAUAAAGCCAUCCAAUUUAAAAUUAGUAAGUGGUUCCCUAUCAUAAGGCCGUCCAAGCUUGCUGUUUACUACUUGCCUAUCAUCAUUACCUAGAAGACCCGCGAAAAUAAAACAUCAGUUGAAAAAGGGGGGGUGGACAGUAAAGCCAAAGUCAUGGUAAAGGAAGAAAGAACACACAGAAAAAAAGGCAUGUUGAAAAAGACAGGAAGAAAGAUCAAAGUAAUCACAUAGCACAAUUAGAAAAAAAAAAAAAAAAAAAAAAAAAAAAAAAAAAAAAAAAACAAACACCAAGAACCAUUAAAGAUAAGUAAAUGUGGCCUAUAAAGUGAAGUCUGAGAAUUUAAUUAGUAGAAUGAAUAGAAAUCAGUAAAAAAUGCAUUAAUUGGAUUAUAGAGUAAUCUUAUAAGCACAGGCGAAUACUUUAGUACUUUAAUUUUUCUUUGCCAAUCUUUAAACUGCAGGGAAAUAAAAAGUGCAGCAAAAGAGACCAAAGAAGAUCAACCUUUUGUGAUUAAGUAGUAAACAGGAGAGUGUGGGGACCUGCACAACAGUGCAAUGGUUAGUAAAAUCACUUGGUUACAGUUAAUAUUAUUAAUGAGAAGAUUUGAAGGGAGGAACAUACUUUUCUUGGUUUGAGGAGAACACUGUGGCAUGCAGCAAUUAAUGAGGGGAGCUAUUUAUAAUAAAUCUGAGAGAAGCUUUCGAUUAUCACAGAAGAAAAGAGGGAAGGCAACAGGGCUAAGUACAGGGACGAGCUCUAGGGUUUAUCGGCUUCUUGAGUAAUCUUUUGGAACUCAGGAAAAAAUCUGUAAAGAUACUCUCAAAACUAAAGAAAUAAAAUAAGAGCAAGCUAUUUGUAAAAAAUAGUAAAAAAUUUUGUAAAAAUAAAAAUCUUUAGGAACUCUCAACAGAUUUGUAAACAACCCACCAAAAUCAUAGGAAUAGGGUAGGAUUAGCCCAGAGCAACUAUCUAAUGGACAGAGUAGGCUAGUUAUAGGAUUUAUGUAAGCAACAUUUGAAAAUCUCACUAGAUCUGUAAAAAUCUUUUAAAAAUCUCACCAGAUCACCAAAAUCAUGAAAAAAUAGGCUAGAUUUAGGCGGAGGAGCAACCGCCUAAUCGACGGGCUCAUCCCACACGCGUUUGAGGCGAUCGGCGGAGCGAUCGAGAAAGACCUCGAGAUAGGAGCGUAGGACACUCAUCAGGAAGGCACGAGAGGUUUGAGGGUGAAGAAGAGAAAGAGAGUUAGGGAGAUCUCACCAGAUCUAUAAACAACCAAGCAAAAUCAUGAAAAAAUAGGCUAGGUUUAGCCCCAGGAGGAACCGCCCAAUCGACGGGCUCAUCCCACAUGCGACCGAGGCGACCGACGGAGCUCGGAGUAGGGGAAAGAGCGAUUAGGAAGAAGCGUCACAAUAGAAACCGCCCAAUAGACGGCCUCAUUGCAUCUGCAGUCGAAUCUAGUGGCGGAGCGUUCUAGAGAGGCCUUGAGGUAGGAGGGUAGAGAACUCAUGAGAGGUUUGAGGCCGAAGAAGAGAGAGAGAGUUAGGAAAAGGGUGUAGAGAGAGGCCUCGGAAGAGGCAUACAUGAGAGAGGGAGGAGAGAGAGGGGCAGCAGAGGGCGUGGAGAGAGGCCUGAGAAGAGGCAUACAGGAGAGAGGGGAAAGAGAGAGAAGGGGUAGAGGAGAAGACAGAGAUAGAGAAAAGCCUCGGAAGAGGCGUACAGAAGAGAGGGGAAAGAGAGAGAGGAAGCAGAGGAGAAGAAAGAGAUAGAGAGAAGCCUCGGAAGAGGCGUGAGGGGAAAGAGAGAGAUAGAGAGAAGCGGAAGAGCCACAUCUGGAAACUGAAUUAUUCGUGGAAACAGGAAAUGCAGCCACGUAUACCGUACGAACUGCCAAUUAAUCUAUUUGUAUGGAUAGUGUUGAAUGCUACUCAGUUACAAAUCCUAGUCUGAUUUGAAAUAAUUGCAUGUAUAUCCCUAUAGAAUAAUGAAAUAAAAUAUUAAUAUAAGUUUACAAAUUUUAGUUCUUAAAAGUAGUUUUGCAAAGUUGCAUAUAUUGGCAAAUAUAUCUUUUUAUAUUAGUUGAUUGGUUAAAAUUAACAAUUUCUUCUACAAAGUAACUAUAUGUUUUAUUCUUAAAUAAAUACUUUUUUAUUUUAUACAACCUCAUUUAUUAUUUUUAACCGUCAAACUAUAUUUAUAUUUGUGUGUAUAUAUAUACUUAUAGGUUACGGUGAGAGCAGCGUUGAAUUAUAUGUAAUUCUGUGUACUACUCCUAGAUGUAUUUGAAAUUGAACACACUGAUUUGAAUCUCCACCAUUAAAUGCUAUUAAAUUCAAAAUUGAUGGUAUAACAAUAUGAAAAACACUAUUCUAGUCUGAAUCGGCUGUAACAUAUAGAAUUACUUGCAUAUAUAUUAUAAAUUUAAAUAUACAUCAAACAUACAUAUAUAGUUUAUACUGUAAAAUUAAUUCUGAUUCGAAUCAGGAUCAAAUUUGAUAAAGAUAAAAUUCAAAUUCAUACCCAGAUUAAAAAUGCUGAUCACUUAAAAAUUUACGGAUAAAUUUUACUCGUUUCCAAAUAACUCAGCGCGUAGGGUGAUCCGCCCGGGAAUCGGCCAACCCGGUAUGGCUGGGAAGUCCCUCCCUUCCGAACGCUGCUCGUAUUCCACGAACCCCGCCCACCACCACAAAACAGAAAGGGGGAGAAAACUGAAAAAGCGAAAGUGAUGCUGCCGGCAGUCUCCGCUGCUCUCUCGUCCGCCGGCGCCCUCUCGCGCCUCCCUUUCUCCUUCCCCUCGCUGGCCGGAAGAAACCCUAAACCAAGAACGAUGCCGCCUGCCCGCCGCGCCGCCCUCGCCCUCGCCUCCGCCUCUUCCUCCGCCGCCGGCAGCGAUGACGGGUCCCAGCCGAAGCCCUGGCUGUUCGUCGGCCUCGGCAACCCCGGCAAGUUGUACAACGGCACCCGCCACAACGUAAAAUCCUUUUCUUUUUUUUAAAAAAAAAUUAAAAUUUUGAUUUUAGUAUUCUAAUUUUUUAAUUUGUUUGAUUUGAGUCCGUCAAGGUUACUCUGACGUCAAAAUUUAAUGAAUUUACUUACAGUUGCGUGAAUUACAUGAAGUAUACUAACUAAAUUCGUAAAGAUGAACGGCACAUUCAAAUAUUGCUGAUUCAAAGCAAACAAAUUGCAAGGUUGGGUAGUAAAAUCAAAAUGGUCCGUACUUCAGAUAAGUUCGGUACGUUUUUACCAAAAAUUAAUAGAAGUUUAAAUAAUAAAUAUAUAUAAAUCAGUGGGCCUAAAUCUAAUAGUUUUAAGCUUUUAGGCUGGUUAUGAGUUUCAUUAGAUAUAGAGCUUCCUAACAUUCUUCGUCCUCUUCUCAAUUCUUGCUGUGUUAAGGUGGAUUUGGCGUAAAAGUUGAUGCAGCAACGUAGGAAAAAUUGUGAAUUUGCAUGCGAAUUUGUGCUUUUACGCUCGGCUGUAGUAAUGUGAUAAACAGAAAUGUGGGUAGAUGGAACGGAAGUGAGAUUUAAGUAGUUUGUGAAGUUUGGAGAGAGGGAAAGAGGGAUUUACAAAAAGGUCGGUGUAUGGAAGCGGUUAAGAACUUUCAUUUUCUUUUCCCUCGAGUUAAGAGGGAAGUGUGUAUUAGGUAUGCUGUGAAUUUGGUUUGAGCACAAGCACAAGUGAGAGUGAGAGCGAGAGAGAGUUCCCUCAAUUUAAGUGGAAAGUGCGUAUUAGGUAGUCUGUGAAUUUGGUUAGAGCACAAAUGUAAGUGAGAGCGAGUGCCGAGCGUACCCGCGCAUAGGCACGCGCGCGCGCGCGUGCGAGAGAGAGAGAGAGAGAGAGAGAGAGAGAGAGAGAAAGCUUGCGCAAGAGAGAGAGAAUGAAAGUGAGAACAAGAAAAAGAGAGAGAGAACACGCUAGAGAGAGAGAACAAGAAAGAGACAGAGAGUGAGCAAGAGAUAGAGAAAGUACGAGAAAAAGAGAGAGAGCGUGCAUGAGAGAGAGAGAGAGCGAAAGUGAGAACAAGAAAAAGAGAGAGAGCACGCGCUAGAGGGAGGGGUAGAGAGAGGGAACAAGAAAGAGACAGAGAGCAAGCGUGCACGCGAGAGAGAGGAGAGAGAAAGUGAGAGAGAACACGCACUAGAGAGAGAGCGAACGAGAGAGAGAGAGAGAGGUUAGUUGGUCCACUUCGAGCGAAUGUGUUAAUUCACCUUAAAGAGUACCAGGCCUCUACAUUCUAGAGACGAAAUUUGGUUAUUAUUUCGGUUGCAUCUGGAUGGCCCCUUGUCCCUUGGAGUCCACUAGGACAAAUUUUAGGGUGAUUAUGCAGGCCAAAUUAUUUUAGGGAUUCCACCAACCUCGUAAGUGCCAGUGCCUCUGCCAAUAUAAUUGUUGCAACCUUUCUGGUCGCUAAAAUGGGAGCUUGACGCCUAAGGUUUACUAAGUGUUACAGCUUUGAAGAGACAGAAAAGAGUCAGGGAUACAGACACCAAUGAUCAAAAGAUUGAAGAAUCAAAUUCUAGUGAAGACCAACAAAAGGAGGGCGCCUUUCCUAUAAUGCUUAGCAUCACUCGGGACAUAUAAUAGAUCAAUCACAAAAGGGCAUGUCAGAUUGGUUAGAUCAGAUUAAGGGCAUUUGUAAUUUUUUUGAAAAGAUGUUAAAAGAAAAAUAUUGUUAGUGAGUUUUUGGUUGGACUAUGAUCUAGCUUUUGUGUUCUAAGGCUUACAAUGAAGACAUUGUCCAGCUGAAGUGGUAAAAUGUGUAAGAGAAUCAACCUCCAAUGUGAUCAUGUCUGAAAUGUUUGAUCAUGGUGUGAUACUUAAAAUAUGCAACUACUUGUGACAUAUUCUUCUGUACUUCUCUGCCUUCUGAUACUAUCUAUGGGCUAACAAAUAUAAUAUAUGGAGUGGUAGCGUUUGUUUCUUUAUAAAAAUAUUUUGGAAAUAUCUCUUUCUUUACAGAAGCAUGUGAAUAGUUUUUCUUGAAAUUUCCUGACAGGUUGGGUUUGAGAUGAUUGAUGUUAUAGCAGAAGCUGAAGGGAUAUCUUUGAGUAGCAUACAGUUCAAGGCAAUGCUUGGAAAAGGUACUUUCUUUUUUCAGAUGAUUAAACCUACUUAACUCCGUAGAUAGUUAGGCCAGAACAUGUUUAUUCAAUAUUACCAUAAGAGGAGAUAUGGGUAAUUUUAUCUUUGGUGAUACAAUUACUAUUUAAUCAUUGCAUGUCAUUGGUGAUUUUGUAGAAAUAUCAAUUUCUUGCAUUCUAUCCUCCAAUGGUGUAAAAGGCAGUUAGCCAUCAAACAGUUAUGCUAUAAAACCCAAUCUUUUGUCUUCUUUCCUGCCACUUCUUGCUCUUCAUUUUCAUGUCUACGUAAUUCCUCUUAGAGCUAUUAUGCUAAUUUGGACUAUUCCUAAUUGCAAAAGUGAUUUUCCAGUACUAGUGCUACAUAGGCUAUAUAUGAUAUUAUGAUGUCAUGACCACAAGAGUAGCUUGGAAUGAACUUGUAUAUUGAGGCUUAAGUUGGCACAGUAAGCAUUUGCUUUCCUAACUUUCUGAUUUUAUUCGGCUCAUCAGCUAUUUAGUUGUUAUUUGUACCCCAGGUUAUUUCACCUACAUUUCUUGAUACAGUAAAGAUGCAAUCACUUUCAUCCAUAAGGAAUAAAUUUGUAGUUUUAUUGGAGUAUCUUCAUGCUAAUAUGCUCCUUUCUUUUUUCUUCUAAUAUUUGAGGAACAAAACACCAGAUCAUCUGGCUUUCUGAAUUCAUCUUACCAUUGAUUUGUUUUUGACCAAAUAGAGAACAUCAAUAUGUAUUGGCUACUUAAUUUAUAUGUAGAUAAGAGUCAUUUUUUGUUUUAUUAUUCCAUGUUGGAUCCUGAUAACAUGACUUGUUUAUGUAAGGAUUUGCCGACUCGCUUCGCAAUUAAAAAAUAAAAGUCUCUUUGACUUUCUCUGGGUUUGAUACUUAGUUCAUCUUGGUUACCUAUAUAUAUUACUUGUAUUGUAAUUUUUGUGUCCAUAUAUUCAUGAAUCUGUACAUGUAUAUCAACAUUGUUCUUUGAAUGAGCCAAAUGACUGAUUCUUUUAUCUGUAGGAAUGUGUUUCGUACUUUUGUAGUAUAUUAGUCAUUUGCCACCUGAGCCAUCUUUUACUUAUAACUUAUGAUAACCAAUUAUCUACUUAAGUUGUAGGUGUAGGCUAAUAUCCACAAACAAAUAUGCAAGUUUGUCUUUGUUUGUUUAAUUAUUGGUGCUCAUUUUAUGCUGGAAACUGCAAUUCCUGUUGGUAACUUAAUAUAGAGUAUAUAUAUAUACUUGGAUUUAAAUAUAUUGUAAUUGGUUUAUAUUCAGGCCAUAUUGGUGAUUCCCCUGUCAUGCUUGCCAAACCUCAAACUUUUAUGAAUGCAAGUGGUGAGUCUGUAAGUAGAUACCUCUAACCCAUCUAAAUUAAGUACAACUAUCUGAAGCAAUUCUUAUUAUAGUCCUAUUCCAGUUUUAUGAUGCAAAUUAGGGCUUCUUCAUGUAGGUUGGUUCGCUGGUUUCAUAUUACAAGAUACCACUGAAUCAAGUACUUCUGGUAUAUAUAUCAUUAUUGUCGUUAUGCAACUAUUGAUGUUUCGUUCUUACUAUUAUGUUUUGAUGGGCUUUUAGUUUUGUUACUCUGCAGAUGUAUGAUGACUUGGAUUUACCUUUUGCAAAAUUGCGCCUACUACCAAAAGGUGGACAUGGAGGUCAUAAUGGGUACUUUUUUUUUUUCUUGACUUCAAUUUUUGUCAGAACUGGCAAUAGCACAUUUAAAUUAAUAACGAAGGUGACUCCUUUAGUACAAGUAAAUUUAAGUGAGAGUGCAAGCCUAGCUUUUUAUCUCAGCGACACUAUAUUUUGUCACCUUGCGUUAAUCAAAUAUCACCCAGUUUCUGUCCCUUGGCAUUAAGUUUGUCUCAGGAAUAAUUUUUUAUCGUAGCAAUACUUGCUAACACUCAUGCUGUCUUUUUAUCCAUUGAAUCUCAGGAAUAAUUUUUCAUCCACAAUCCUGAUAAUUGUAGCAAUAGUUGCUAACACUCAUGCUGUCUCGUUAUCCGUUGAAUUUAUUCAUCCUCCUCGUUGGUUAGUGAAAAAGAUGAGAGUUCUCAUAUUCUUGUGAUCAUUUCAAUGUUUAUAUCUUGUUUAAUGAACUUUACCAAUAAGGCUGGCAUCUUCCUUGGAACUAUAUGACCUUUGAAUUCUGAACUUUUUUCCUUGUGAACACUUCAGAUGCCGUCUGUGCGUUAGCCAAAUUCCACUUUUCAAACCCCAUGAUUCAGGUUAUAAUACCUUAAAACCUCGAGGUUCGUGUUCUAGAUGCCGUCUCUGCUUUACCCAAAUGUUUACAGUCACAAUAUUAUUGCAAAUGAUACGAAUAAGUUGCUUUGCAUCAUUUACCCUCCUUAUGAUGAGCUACUUGCUUGUCACAUGUUCAAUUUUAAGGGUAUUUAACUGCAAGCAACUGUAAUGGCUACUUCAAGCCAAGGGCAUGUUUGGUUUGAAAGCUUUGAGGCUUAGAAUGGGAAUCGGAAUGAUCCAUUCCUAUUAUUAGUGCUUGGUUUGAGGGAUUGACAUUUCGAUUCCCAUUUUUGGUGGGGGGGGUGUAAAUCGAAUCCCUUCAAAAUGAUUCCCACCACAGAAGGGGAAUCAACUUUGAUUCUCGAAGAGAUUGAGAAAAGAACUCUUUUUUUUCCUCUAACAAUUAUUUAAAUUCAGAUAUUAAUGUAUAUUUAAUUUCAGAAUAAAUUAUAAUUUUUAAAUUUGAAUCUGAUUGUGAGUUUGGAUAGUAAAUUUAAAUUUUAAUUAAAAUUUAAUUUUUUUGAAUUUCAAUUUGAGCAUGAUUCCGGUUCGGAAUCCUCUUAUGAACCAAACAAAUUAAGAGUUUUCAUCAUUCCGUUUUCGUUUCCGGUUCGUUCCCAUUUCUUUAUUCCGAUUUCGAUUCCUAUUUGAAUCCAGCACGCCCUUACAGUCUGAACCACAUGGUUUUAAAUUGAAUAUAGACUAACACUAAAUGGUUGUAUAAAAUUUUUCCUAUCAAUUUUCUCUUGUUCAUCCUUAAAAUUGACAAUCAACAUCUCUUGAUUAAUCAAUAUUCCCAGUUAAAUCCCACUGAUUUAUUUAUAGAUAGCUCGCUUCCUUGAUCUAAUCAACUUUAGAAGUAAGGUGUAAGUUAGUAAAUUAAAAUGAAUGCUUCUAGAUUUACUUGAACCUUAGAUUAUUUACUUCCCUAUUUACUUCAUCUUUUCUACUCCGCUUUACUUGUUCAGUCUACUUUUGCCCUCUCUUUGCUUUUGCUUUUCCCCAUCAUUAAAUUGAGAAUGAGAAGCUGCUUAGACAAUAUUUUUGGUUUAUAUCAGUAGUACUAGUUGUUCCUAUACCCUGUUUAAUUAGUUUUGAUGAUGAGAAUAAAUUAGGAAUGAGAGCUUCCCAUUUUUCUUAGACCUUUUUAAUUUAUAUGUAGGAUGCGAAGCGUGAUGAGCCACUUAAAAGGAAGCCGUGAUUUUCCACGUCUAAGAAUAGGUAAUGAAUUUCUUAAUUUUACCUUACCUUUGUUUCUUCUUUCGGCGAUUAUUAAUGUAUUAUCCUGUGAAUAUUCGCAAAGGCAUUGGGCGGCCGCCAGGAAAGAUGGAUUCGGCCAACUUUGUUCUUCGACCCUUUAACAAGAAAGAGCGCGAAGAGGUUUUCCCCCCAAUCUUGAUGCUUUAACAUUUUCGUGGUGAUGUGGUGGUAUUAACCUAGUGGGAGCUGGUAUUAACAUUUAUUAGAAUAUCAGGAACAUUGAACUUGUUCCCGUCUAUUGUAUAUACACUUAUCUUGUUUAAUGCACCUACUCAGAAAAUAAUAAUUCGAGCUCUAUUAUUCGCAAGAUCAGUCAGAUGCAAGGAUUGUCGUGCUGGUUGGUACAGUCUGGCAUAGCCAGCACAUGCUGCUUGUGUGCUGGCCGUGCUGCUCGUGCCUAUAAGCUCAUGCCGACCAUGCUGACAUAUAAAAAUUGAAUAUGUGCUAAGACAUGCCAGCAUGCUAUGCCGAUGGCACACCAGCACGCCCUGUGCCAGUGGCACAACAAUCCCUGAUAAGAUGUGAUAUAUAUAUAUAUGGUUUAGAUCAUGUUCAACGGUGUCGAUCGUCGAUUUGAAAGCUCUAUAAUCAAAAACAAAUCGGCAGUAAACCGAGCCGUUUACUACCGAUAGUAGCCCAGUCAAGCUCUCUCUCUCUCUCUCUAUAUCUCUCUCUCUCUCUCUCUAUAUAUAUAUAUAUAUAUAUAUUGAGUUGAGCUCAUGUGCUUUUAAAAUCAUAGGAGCUCAAUGUGCUUGUGGUUUUUAGCUGUUGGAUUGCCUCAAAAUCUAUGCAGCACUAGUAAAGAAGACUUAAUAGGAUACGCCAUUAAUUGUACUGCAUGGGUUUGAGAUGAUCCAAUGGCUAAAAAAUCACAAGUACAAAUGCUCUUGUGCUUUUAAGGAGCUCAACUCUCUCUCUCUCUCUCUCUCUCUCUCUCUCUCUAUAUAUAUAUAUAUAUAUGACGUAUUUGUUUGUUCUUCUUUUGGAUGCAGCUGGAUUUUACCUUUCAUCGGGGAUUGCAAGCAGUAAGGAUUCUGGUGCUCGAGGGAUUCAACAAGAGUGCGACAUUCGUAAACAGUUCGCAGUCGUCAGAACUCUUGAACAAAUGAAGCCGAUCAUCAUCUCAAUUCGCCAGUGAUAUCGACAUGGAAACCGACGCGAGUUAAAUUAUUUGCCGCGCCUUCCAAUCCAGCGGCCUUAAAAAUAUACAGCCUUUUCAUCGAAAGGGAGCCUGAACAAGCGCGGCAAUACGCAAUACCAUCAUGUGCUAUUCUUUUUCGUAUUUGAUUCUGAAACUCACUAGGUGUUUCUUUGUGGGGUGAUAUUUUUGUAAACAAUAUGUCAUUUUUUUUCAGUGAAAAUGGAAGUUUCAUAAAGUGUUGAAGGAAAAAUUAUGAUCUGAGCUGGGUGUACUCAAACAUCUGUGCAUCACAUGUUCAUUUAUUCUUUAUCUCAUCUUAUAUUUUAAUGGUUAAAAUAUCGGUUUUUUUAAUUUCUAAUAUGACAUUUAAAAAUCUAUAUUUUAUCUUCUUAAAAUUUCUAGUUGAUACAUUUAGUCCUCUUCUGCCAGAGCUCCGGCACUAUUCUAUCUAUUUUUUAUAAGUUAUACCAAAAAUACUUAAAAUAAUAGAAAUAUAUUAUUAUUAUUAUUAUUUUUGUUAAAAAAGUAAGGACAAUUUGGUCAUUUCACUAUUUUCAUUAACGCUAUAAUCUUUUAAAAAUAUUUUUAAAAUUUUAAGGAGACUAAAUAUAGAUUUUAAAAGCCACGAAAAAAGUGAGAAAAUAGGUAUUUACAAGGAUGGGCUUUUUUUCAAUUUAGCCCUCCGGCAAAUUUUUAUUUUAAAAAUAGCCCUGUCAAAAUUUAAUUUGCAAAAAUGGCUCUGGCCUUGCCACGCAGGCGCCACGUCAGCACCACGCGGGUAGGACUAGGGCCAGUGUGUUAAGUUGAAUACGGUGAAUCAUUUACCGUGUUCAAACACGGUGAAUGAUUCACCGUGUUCAAACACGGUAUAUUUUUAUUCCUUUUCUUCUCUUUUAGGGAUGUAAACGGGUCGGUUUUGGGUCGGGUUUGGAUCGGAUUUUUAAAAAUCCGAAAUCAAAUUUGAAAAUCAAAUUGAA